CAGAAAAACAACUCUAGUCGAACAUGUAUAUAUGGUUUUUUUUGUCCGAAAAUGUAGCUGAUCGAAGAGAAUCGCAUUAUUUACUGCGUGCUUCUCCGACUUCCCAGUGACCUCCAGAGGUUGUAUUACUGCAUGACCAUUUUGCAAACUGGAAGAUGAAAGAACGUGACUGUUACACAUUUCUUUCUGACUCAUUUAGGAACCCAAAGCUUGGCAGAAAUUUGAGAUCUAAUUUUAAUAAUAUUAGUAACAUAUAAAUAAUUAAUAAUAUUAGUGAACAAAAUAUAAAUGUCUUUCCUUGGGAAGUGAAAAGAGAUAGCUGGGGGAGCAACGCAAAGCCCUAUAUUGGAUCUUAUAACACUAAAAUCUUGAGGCACUACUGAUAAUAUUAAUACUGACACUUGCUCAUAACACUGAAAUCUUGAAUAUCACAUUGAUUGGUAGGAUUCCGAUUCUAGGAGCCAAUACAUUACUUUCUUGAUUCGAUUCUUGAGCAAUUUGGGCCAUUGAAUUUCCAUGUGAUCUAACAGUCAAGAUUAAUAGGGGCAAUAUGGUCAUGUUGUUUUUAAUAUUUAUGUUGGAUUAGAAUCGACCCAUCUUCGAUCACCGUUUCCAUCGCCGAAACACCGUCUUUGGUCAUUGAUCACCCGGUCACCGGAAAGUUUCUGGGCAACUCCAACCUCGAUUGACGAAAAUUUUUGCACUCACGUGAUCAUUGUCUUCGGCUCUACGUUUCUUUUAAAAAACUAUUUUACUAGAAAUAUUUUCCAACGAUUGGCCAAAAUUGCAUGGAUCAUUCAAAUGUGUAUAGGUUCGUACAAAUCCGUACUGAAGUGUAUACACAUUCAUAUUGUUUCUGUACAAAAUGUAAUACUUCGUACAAUACUUAGUAUACACAUUUAUAUUGCCGUACAAUGUCCAUUUGGCCCAUAUAUUUUCAGCCGUUAGAUCUAAAAUAAGAUUUUUAAACGGUUGAGAUUUGUGUAGGCAUUAUGGAUUAAAUACAGAAGUCAUUUCAGCGGCUCCAGAUUCGGAGAUGUAGCUAGUGAAAUGGUCAUAUGCGUGUGUUUCAUAAUUAAAGACAGAAAGCUAUGAUGAUAAAGUGGAAUUUCAUUUGGGUAGCUUGAGUACUGAAAGAAAAUGCAGAGAAGUUGUAAUGAAGAAGAAGAAGAAAAAGAAGAGAGUAUAAUAAUGCAGGGAUUGUACAACAAGGGCGGUGGUGGAGUGGUGGCGCCAUUCUUAACAAAGACAUACAAGCUGGUGGAUGAUCCAAUGACAGACCACAUUGUGUCUUGGGGAAGCAAUGAUAUGAAUGAUCCAAUGGCGGCCAUGAUGAUGAUGAGUACAUUUGUGGUAUGGAGACCUCCAGAGUUUGCAAGAGAUCUCCUCCCUAACUACUUCAAACACAACAACUUCUCCAGUUUCGUCCGCCAGCUCAACACCUAUGUACGUCGUAUAUAUGCAUCUCGCGUCUCUUUUACUUUAUCCAACUCAACAACCUAUCUGGAAAAUGUAAGUGUUGUACUUAUUUUCUGAUGAUAUUAAAGGUAUUAAUACUGCAGGGAUUCAAGAAGGUAGCAGCAGAAAGAUGGGAGUUUGGGAACGACUACUUCAGGAAAGGUGCAAAGCAGUUGCUCUCCCAUAUUCACCGUAGAAAAUCACCCCAUCAUUAUAACGAUCAUCAUCAGCAUGACUUCAUAUUUCAGCUCCCACACCAUCACAUAUUCCUGCCAUCACCACCGCCCCCGCCACCAGCAGUACAUUAUGUAUUAUCUCCGGCGACCGUUCAGAUGAUGAUGAGAUGAUGAUGUUGAGGGCACUUUCGGAGGAUAACCAGCGGCUGAAGAAGAGGAACUUGGCUCUGCUCUCUGAGCUCUCCCACAUGAAGUCAUUGUACAACGACAUCAUCUACUUCAUCCAAAACCAUCUCAAGCCUCACCACUGUUUUCCUUAUCAUCAUCAUCAUCCCCCUACUACCACUACCACUACUAAUAAUAAUAAUAACAAGCUCGUGGAACUGCAGAGUGAUACUAAGGAGGAUGACAGGGACGGUGGGGGCUGCACUGGUGGGGUAAAGCUGUUUGGGGUGUCGCUUUGUGGGAAGAAGAGGCAACUCCAUUCUGAUCAUCAUUAUUUCACUGCUCUUUGUCCUCUUUCAUCCUCCUCUUCCUUAUGAUCUUUCCAGUUACUUCUCUUAGGUCUAAUUAAAGUUGUUUGCUUUCACCUUUUCUUACUCCCCCAAAAGGCCGGUUACUAUUAAGAAACUUAUCUCUACCUUCUCUUUGUUUUGUUUUGUUUUGUAAUGACUUUUAGAACCAUUCCGGAAUAUCCAAUCAAGUUAAUUUAACGAAUUGUAUAUGAUUCAACACAACAUUGAAUGAAAAGAUGAGUAAUUCAAAAUCGAAUUAGUCAAAUUUUUCAUAUCAUAAAGAACGGAUUCAGAAAGUGACAACUUUUAAAUAUUAUUGGGCUGAAUACGGUUAUGUAGGAUUUUAAUAAUUUUUUAGGACCAGAACCCGACUAUCUUUGGUCGACGGACAACGUCUCCGAUGAUCGGAUCACCAUCUCUUAUACCAGAAAGUUUCAUGUUCAAUUUUAUACACCUAGUACGAACUAUGUAUAUAAGUUUGAAUAGAUCUGUACAAGUUGUAGCGAAGGUCGUUGUAUACACCUACCAAUUCUAAAUCAUGCAUGUGAUAGUCGUUCUGAUGCUCUUUGUACAAGCUUUCUAGAAGCAUAAGCUACCACUCUCCCAUAAUGCAUAAGUACACACCCCAUGCCUUGAUAAGAAACAUUACUAUACACCACAUACUCACCUCCACUGGCUAAGAAGGUGAUGAUGGGAGUUGUAGUGAGUAUUCUCUUCAACUCCUCAAAGCUUUCAUGGUCGCCGACAAGAAGUACCUUACAAGGCGAGUGUGGGGUGUGCCUACUAUUGGUCUCAAAACGAGACACAUGAACACUUGUUUUGUUCAUGCCUUGUACUUGUGGGGUGUUGGGAGGUGAGCAGGUUGAUGAGUUGGGUGCGGCAGCUGGAUGGAUUUGAAGUGGAUGUUAAGAGAUGGUUCUUUGGGGUAAUUAAGUUGGGUGGGAACUACAUUACUCGAAGACAUCAUUUGGGGUUUGUGGCAUGAGCGGACAAGCGAAUUUUUCAAAUGCACUCUACAACUUUAGAAAUGGUAGUUAGGUGGCGCUUUGAUGAACUAGAAAAGUAACUAGAAAUUCAAAGAUUGAGGUGUUUGAAGUUGUCGCCAAGGCAUCACCCAUGCCCACAUUGGCAUGUAACUCCGCCAGGGUACGUAAAAUGUAAUGCAAACGAUGUUAUCUUUUGCCCCGGAUGGGGAUUAUGGGAUCAAUCUUGCGGUGAGGGAUGGGGGGUGCUUUUACAGUUCCUGAUGCAACAUCGACACAAAUGUAUCGAGGUGAGGAAGGUGGAGUCCUCAACAUUUCUUAUGUUGUUAAAAUGGGCACAUAGUAUGGGGGUAUGAGAAGACAAUCUUUGAAACUCACAACUAGAUGGUAGCCAGGCUGUUAAUGAAACAUAACCGUAUAUUUCAGAAUUUGGGGCCAUAUACACAAAAUACCUUUAUUGCAAUUACUCGGGUCGGAAGAAAUUGGAAUGAGGUUAUGUGUGAGCUUGCUUGGAAUGCUCAAGGACUGGCAUCUAUUGUGAAAUCCGACUCUAGAAGGCCUGGUCGAAUCUUUGGUUUGACCCAUGCAACCUAUUCGGGUUCUACUCAAACCUACAACUGCUAAUAAAAGCCAAACAUUCAAACCAAACUAAAAUCCUUUAUUAAUUCUUUCGAAUUCUGACAUACAAGGUUCUCGGAUCUUGAAAUACAAAACAUAAAGAGAGGAGAUGAAACUCUCAAGUUCUAAAUACAUCAAAAGCGGAUAUCAGAUGAUAUCAAAACUGCAACCAGCUCAUCCCACCUCUAGCUCCGGCACCUGUGACUGUACACACAAAGAUACAACAUGGAAACAAACAUCUACCGAGUUUGGUGCUCAGCACUGAGUCGCUAACUGAACAACAUGUAUACCCGCGAGUGAGGACAAGGAUAGAACAUAUAAGUCAUCCUAGUCUCUACUAUAAUAAUGUGACCGUGUGGUCUUGUAGGAAAAAACCUAGCAUCAGUCAUCCCUAGCUAUGUGGAUAGCGUCAUGGUGGAUCAGACCAUGAAACUACCUUGAAAAACGUGUGAGCAGUAUCUGUAAGCACACUCAAUAUGUCAUGCCUGAAACCUAAAAGUCAACUGAGAGAUUAUGCAAUCCGGGGGUGGAUUUGGCUUUUAUAAUAAGUCCACUAUGCCCGUGACGGACUUACCACAACGCCCGUGACUACCUGUCAACCACGCCCGUGAACUACUGAUGGUCACGAACGUGUUUCUCUGGUGGUCACGCUCGUGACUGACUGCUGACCACGACCUUGGUUGAUUUGACAAAACCCAACAAACUCAAACCAAAACCCAAACCGAUAGUUGACCCAAAAUCGAGGUGUCACAGUUCUCCCUUCCUACAAGAGAUUUUGUCCUGAAACCUGAGUCUAAAGGCUUAACAAGAGAGUGGAAAAAUCUGCCGUUGGGUAACUUCUCCACGAUCUCCGGGUAGGGCUCUCGCAUUCAAACCCCAGUCUCCCAUGUCACAGGCUCAACUCCUGAUUCCCUGCCAGAGUACUCUCAAACAUCCUGGUGUGUGAUUCGGAGUCAGUCUUUCAUGCUCAAACACUAAAAGAUAAUCCCAAAAACUUUGGGACCUAAUACCACAUUAUUCAAUAACAAACACACCAUCAAGUAUGUCAUAAUAAUCUUUAGAGCUAGAAAUUUUGGGUAACAGGUAUCAAGUAAUCCCGAUCCCGUCCCGAACCCGAGCGGGGUUUGGAUACCCAAUACCCAUACGGGUUCGCGGUUUGGCUUAAAACUUGUAAUAGUCUUCUACCCGUAGGUACCCGAUACCCGUUUGGGUAUACCCGAUGGGUACCCAUUAAUAACAAACCUUAUUAUUAUACCCAAAAUAUACCAAACCUAAUAGGCUAAACAUGGAGAGUAAGUUAGUAAUUUACUAGUUUCAUUAGUUUGGUUGAUUGAGAAUUAGAAUGUGACUCAAUUUUAUAAGAUAGUAUUCCGAUAUAUGAGUGAAAUUUAUAGUUCGUAUUUUUUUCUUGUCGUUGAUUUGUUUGUUCGGGUAUUGACGGGUACCUGAACCCGAACCCGCACUACUCGUACGAGUGUAUGGGUACCCAAACCCCAAACGGGUUAGUUGUUUGGCUUGAGUUUCACUGCAUCUUCGGCUACGGGUACCCGCUCAAAACGGGUAUGGGUACCCGAACUCGUCCUAAUUUUGAGCCCUAAUAAUCUGAAGAUUCAUCAUAGCCAAAACACAACCUCUACUAAGGUUCAUUGGAUGUUCGUCAUCAUUUCCAAUCUAUCAUCUUUCAUCUAGGGACUCUAACCCUUGAAUCUAUCAUUUAGACCCCCCUAACUCAUCUAGCUAUCCCAGCCGCCUAUUGUGGACUUAAACAUCAAUGGGACUUGAACCCAAUAAGAUCACUAGGACUCGAACCCACAUAAAUAAUAAUUCGGGGACUCGAACCCAUGAUAAUAAUAAUUAGGGGACUCAAACCCACGAAAAGACAGUGGAUCAUGUAUCCACCUAGCCAUUAAACAUAGGGACUCGAACCCUAGAAUCUAAGUCGACAACUAGUCACGGUAGGGCCUAGCUAAUGAGGUACAUGUUUCUCUUCAUCUUAUCGUUCAUUUCCUUAAUGAUUAUCCGUCUGCUAAGUAGUGCUAUUCUAAGGGCACAUCACUUUGUAACAUAAAUGUAGAAACACAUAAACAACUACGUACCAAUCAUGUAAUUCAAUUAACACAUCACAUAACACAUAUCACGUAACCUAGCGACUGCAUGGUAAAGAAUAUAUGCCCUUUAAAUAAAACCCACCUCAUUGAUGAUCUGAAAUCUCAGAAUAAGAUCCGAGAUGAUUCUUCUUGCUUCCACGAAACCAUAGCUUCUCUCGGCGAGCCCGUUUCCAGAAUCCGACGACUCCCAAUUUCUUUGUAUUGCAAAAUCCGUCUUCGAUUCAACCCACCUCCGUUGUCCGAUGGCUCGGAGGUCCCAACAUCCAUUAUUAGAUCGUCCAUGGCCUCGUACGCUCCUACACGCCCGACUGGGUUCAAAAACACCUCCGCUACUCUUUGACCCCGUUUAUAAACGCCCAACAUCCGCUGAUGUCUCUCACUCGACCAAUAUCCCUCCUCCUGCCUCGAUAUUUGUUCGCACGAUCCCAUUUGUCGAGUCCUGCUCAAUUUCAGUCUUCUUCAUCCUCUGGAACAGUCACAAUGAGGCACUAUCGAAACAGCGAGCCUUGGAUUCAUCUCUCGUAUCACUAGAGGUUCCUCGUAACCCAAUACGAGAGGUUCCUCGUAACCUUGGGGAUUUCUUUAAGGGCUAGUUUUUACGCAAUCGAAGAUGAAGACAAACUUAAAUCCAGUAAAGGGAGAAUCGGUUCGCAAUCAUCGGUACCGUUGGAAAAGGAAAGAAGGUGAUUGCUGAAUUUGCGUCGGAAGGUAGGAGGUUGAUGUCAUCAGUGACUUCAUGAAAUUUUAAGGCUGAAGAGAAGGAAGAAAAUAAACCAUCAUACAUGUGACUCGAACUCUAGAUGUUGGACUGGAUGGGUGGGCCCAUAAACCAUCCGAACUGAUAUAAUCUUGUGGACAUAGUUCAACCCACAAUAUCAAAUACUAGUUUUAGAGCUAAGUAGAUUAAAUUAACAUGAUUCUGAUAACUAAUUAUGGCUAUUCCAAAUCGGCUAGUACUUAAAUACAGUUGCCAAUAACCUAUUAUCAAUUAUAUAUCAACCGUUCAACAUAAAAUAAAAUUCUUUACAUAUUUUGUUAAGGGUAAUUUAGGAAUUUGAUUAAUAGAAAUUUCAUCACUAGAAUCGGGGUGUAACAUGUAUCUUUCGAUCCCUAAUCCGAUUAGGCUGCUCCCUGUGAGCCAGUUAUCUCUCUACUAUAGCUCAUCCACUUGGAUUUCUCGCGUUGAUCCCUCAUUGCCACCCUGAAUACAUACUUAAGGAAUUUGUGAUAUAUUCCGUCCAACCCUAUCGUAUAGGCCAGCCCGUAUGUCACUGAUCUUACCACUCCACCGGCGCUGUAGAGACCGUAAAACUGAGGGUCAAUUCCCCUUUCCUGCCAACGCAUCACUCCUUCUUGAAGGACUACUUCGAAGGAAACCUCGUCCUUACCUUGAAGUUAACCUCACUUGUUUCUUGCCUGCAUACUGCCCUUGCCAACUCUGUGUCAUACUUAGCUGGUAGCAAUGAGGUCCCGUCAUCCAUCUACCUCCUUCCUUACCGUUCAAGAUUUUUAACUAAAUUACCCAAUACGGUGAUGGUAACAUCUAAUGUAGGCGGUCUCCUCCACCGAAGUCCUUGCCCCCAACCCCUGAUGGGCAUGCAUAAGAAAGACGACUAUUAGAAUAAUACUACAAGACCCUGUUCGGGUUCUUAUAUCUCCGGGCCAGGGCCGACUUGACCAAUUCCUUAUAUCACACCCUGGCUGAUAUCGACCCACUAUUUCUAGCCCAUUCAUUCAGCCUAAACUCAUGAACCCAUUCUCGUCACGCUCGUGGUAAACUAGUCACCACGCCCGUGGUGACCUGCCAACCACGUCCGUGACUGCCUGUUGGCCAUGCCCAUGAUGAUCCUUUAUAAGGAAUCCGAUCCCGAAUUCGAACCCUAAUUUUCAUUCACCCCCAUUCCUCUCAAUCCCUCUCACGGGUGUUGUCAACCGUUGCAUUCCUCGUUUAACCUGUAAUCCUCCGGUAAGUUCUCGUCCUUGCUCUCUUUUUUUAUUUUGUUUUGUCCUACAAUGUCUAAUGGUUCCUCUCCUGCAGACCCCUCUACUGCCAACGUUGCCACUGUUCUCUCUUCCCUAUCCUUUUCUCCAACUCUUCAAUCGACAGUUAGCCUCCAUCCUUUCCUCUCUAUUAUGCUACAAUCUGAAACAUAGACCCAGUAAUUCUGUUUGAUAGGACUACUGUUACCAUUGCUAGCCUUAGGAUUUGCUUGCAAUAACUACAACUCCAUCCCGUCCAUUGACUCUAGGUCACGCCCAUGGUGACCUGUUCACCAUGCCUGUGGCUGUCUCUCUCUCUCCAUACUCAUGAAGUUAUAUCCAUCACGCCUGUGGUAAUGUGGUUCCCCAUGCUCGUGAUGAUAUGUACACCACGCCUGUGAUAAGAUGUUAUCCACACCUGUGGCUGAAUGUUCAUCACGCCCGUGGUCGUCCCAUGACAGUUACAUAUUAUGUUUCUUUUGUGCAAAUGUUCGGUGAAGGAUUAUCAUCUCAGAACUUGGUGCAUCCCAAGCCCAAAUGCUCUCAACGUCGUUUGGGCGAAUACCGUACUGUCGUUGCUCACCUCACUGCCCAGGAGGCGAGUCUGGACCAGGACACCACCCAGGCUGCUGCCCAUUGCCUCACCUUCUCCAGCGAGGUCCAUCGCUUACGCAUGGAGCACCUCAAGGGAAAACCUAUUCAGCAAGUCGGGUUGAUCAACUAGGAGGGGAUUCGGGACACUCCCUUCGUCGAUUGGGAGCGACGGGCAGCACAGCUCCUUAGCAACGGACGUGCCGAGCAUGUCUUCGAGGUGGACGAGUGUGACACCUGUAUUUUGGUCAGCGGUUUAAAUUUCGGUUUGAUUAAAAUCUUACUCAUCGAGUGGAUAUCGGAAUCGGAACCGAAUUAAUUUAAUUAAUUAGAAGAGUUGACUCAGUAGUUGACCAAGUAUUAAAAGCUUGUAAGGCUCAUGAUAGUUAUCAGGUUGAUUAAGUUAAUCGAAGGAAGAGUGACUGUCAGUCUGUCACGGGCAUGGUUGUCAGAUAGACCACGACCGUGAUCAACAAUCAGUCAUGAGCGUGAGCUAACUAAAUUUAGUAAUCCACCGAUUCAUAUUUUGGAUGCCAAAAUUUGUAUUUAAUGUGUUCAAAGAUAAUCAUGCGGAGAUUUUUUAGAUUUGGGUUGAUUCCAAUGCAAAGAAUUUGGUUGUUGAUGGAGUGAUGGUUCAAAAACUAUGUAUAGGAUAGGAGUUGUAUAGUCCGGUUUGGGUACAGAUGGAUCAAAUCGCUCAAACAAUCAGAUCUGACGGCUGAGGCUGCAAAAAAAUGCAUCAAUGGUUGGAGAUGAUAUGAUGGGGUUCGGCACUAACUUUCCCAUUCUGUCCCAUAUUUUUUUCCCGCUGGUUUUAUUUAUUAUAGAAAUUAGUGUUAAUAAAAAUCUCACUCACACAGCUUCCUUAGACGUUGCCUUGGAGUAUACGAUGGAUUUGUCAAAGACUCGGCGGUGUUUAGUGAGCCAUCAUAAUGUUUAGGUAGACAUUGAAGGGGGCAUAGAUGCGGUGACGAUCAAAUUAAAUUUGUUAUAUAAAAGUAAAAAUUAUUAUGUACGAUUAUAUAAAUAGUAGUUAUUCUUAACGUAACAUGUUUAAUUAAAGCUGUUAUAUAAAAAUAAAAACCAUUGUGUAAGUUUUACGUAACGACAAUUAUAUCUCAUAUAGCGAAUCUUGCUAAACCCAUCAUAACAGGCCACUAGCUGAAAUUCACUUUGCUGAUCUUAUACAUAGUUUUUAUUUUUAUAAAAUCUCUUCAACAAAAUAUAACUAAUACUGAUCUUCAUAUUGAACAAACUUUUGAAAAGAAUCAGUUUUCUCUUCCAGAAAGAAUGGAAAGAAUUAGUCAUACUAACAAAGUUUUCACUCACGGUAAAAAUUAUGGACGAAAGAAAAACUAUAUAUAGAUGAAGUUUUGAGUAAAAUAGAAGUAAACUGUUAAAAAUUAGCACAAUUUUCAACUAGCGUAAAUCUUGUUCUUCAAACCAACGCAAAGAAGCAUGUUGCUCCUAGUCUGCACCAAUUUCUUCCCCAUCCCAAGGGCAUCCGAUGCAUUUUCCGAUAUACGUUUCUUCUCAUCGUCGACAACAUCUCGUCUGCCCGACUUAAAGCUCAACUUCUUCAUUAACCUCUUCCUCCUCGGCAUUUUUGUCCGCGUCGGUUCGACUUCUUUCUUCUUCAAUUCCGCAUCCUCCUCAUCCUCACCUCUUCCCUUCAUUGAUACCAUGAGGCUCCUUAACAUUUCCCUCUUGCUCCCAGCAUGACAAUUACAGGAAGCCAUCAUUCCUUCCUCAUAGUCAUCAUGGGCCUUUGUGGAGUCCAUUUUAACCAGCCUGGUGUGUCUCGCGUACAGCACCCCUUUGGGCUGCGGAGACGACUUCAUCGGGCUAGGACUUGGUAUUGGGCUUUCAGAUCUUACUCUCGGCAUGCUGCGAACCCAGUUCAGCGUGGGCUUGGGCUUGGGCUUUACUUCAUCAGACCCAGGAGAAUCCGACAUCACCCGUCUAUGAUUCACGCCGCCUCUGUUUUUUCCGGCGGUCUCUCCUCCUUCCUUGACGUUUUUAAGGGCGGCCGCGAAAGGGUCAAAAUCGUCAUUCCAAAGGCUCCGACGGUGGACGUGUAAUCCGGAUCUCCUCCCCGUAGGCGUAGAUGACCUUUUCCCUGUCUCUCCUGCUCCUCCGAAGGACUGGCGAGCAGGUGGAGGCUUCAAUUGGACCGUUCGCUGUUCACGAUGCAGCAUGAUGAGGUGCUGGGUGUCGGAGCAGGUUUCGAAAUCGGAAUGGACGUCGAGGUAGCUGCAUUCGUCGUAGAAACGAGCGCUGACGGUGGAGGAUUCGAAAUCGUCGACUGUGAAAUUGUAAUUGGGGGAGGAGGUGGAUUUCGUCGACGGCGGGUCGAAGGAACGGAAACUAUCUGCGAACCUUGAGGAGGAGCUGGACGUGGCGGCGGUCAUGUAGGAGGAAUUAUCGUCGGCGGGGAAAUCCAUGGACAUAGCUUUCUUGGGAGAUAACAUUUCUGGUAAUCUAAAUGGGAAGACGAUGGGAAAUGGAGUUUACGGUAGCUCUGUCUAUAUAUGUAAGCAGAGUAGAUAGGAGGCAAACAAACGAGUGUUCAGAGUUAUUUGUGACUUGUGAACUGGGUAAUGAUCUUUCUUUUGGGAGUCAAACAAUGCGAGAUGGCGGGCGAAUUGGUAGACCCAGGUCCGGGGCAUAGUAAAAAAUGGUUGAUAGCAGCCAAUGGAAUUUUAAAUCGUUAGAUCAUUCAUAUAAGUUCAUCUAAUGGUCUAGAUUAUCGGAUUAAACGAAUAAUUUUAUAAAUUAUUUUCUUUAUAAAAUAGUAAAUAGUUUGGACACCUUUACAUGUUCUUUCUUUUUGUUUUGUACUGUAUAUAUUUAUGUACACACUCUUAUAAUUAUCUACAUUGAAUUUUAGAAUCCGUUGACAGACCUAGCUGAUAAAAGGCUAACCCAACCCCGUUACCUACUAACAAAAAAGUUAACAUGUAACAUGCCAAACCCAUAACUCGAUUAACUUUUAAUCUAACUAAUGAUGAGUAACCUGAUUGAAGAACCGGUGACCGAUCCAAUCUGAAUUACUCGGAGUCGUGACCUGCCCAACCCACAUGUUUGACCGUUGCAGAGUGGCCGACAACGACAAAUGAUGGCUGGUUGGAGAGAGUUGGAAAUAUUUUUCACUUGUACAAUUGUUAGAUUUUAGUGAUUAGAUCUGACGAUUGAGUUCCUUGCUGCCAAUGCUAUUAUGCCAAUUCGAAUAGGUAUGGAAGAAGAAAAUAACAGUAUUCUAAUUGUUAAUUGGUGUUAUGUUAUGUAUAUAAAUUAUAGAUAAUGCUGAUGUAUUACGUAGGUUGUUAUGCAAAUUUUAUAAUGAGUUGUUCUGUAAUGUGUCUUUAUUCAGCUAAGGUUGGGAAUACAGAUGUACAUAGAUUAUAGAGAUAUGUAGACGUAAUUGAGGGGUCAUGACUUGGCUCAAUACGGGUCAUUGCUAAAUUGUUAUUAAUAGCUAAGUGGGGGGUGUUUCUGGAGAUGAAAUCUAAAGUGAUAAAAGUGACUGUUACUUAGAUUCCAAGUUAUACGUCAAAUGCCAAGAGCAAAAAGCUACCACGUUGUAUCUUUCUUUUCUUUUUUGUUUUGUUUUGUUUUGUUUUCGUGUGCACUCUUUCUUUGUGUUUUUUCUUGUACCGUAUCCAAAUCCAAUGUGUUCCAUGUGAAAUGUGUUUAUUCAUGUCAUUGUCUUGAACCGACGCUAGCUACAACACUGCAAUAUAAAAUACGUUCGAUGAAUGGGACAUGGAGGGUGCACUACGAGUAUCCAGGAUCCAGGUUUCACCCAGGCGGUAAAGCCCAAAAUAUCCGGCCCAGAGGCCUAGAGAACUCACUCGGCCCGGCAAUCACAACCCUCAAAGUAAGGGCUGGAAGUCUUCCGGUUAGUAGUUAACCGAACCGAACACUGAUUAACAAUACCACAAUUUUAGUCAAAUUACUAACCAGUAACCACACCGCAUUAUAUGCAGUUAACCAUUAACCGAAUCAGGAUUAUGUAUUGCGGUUAAUGGUUAACCAUAUAACCAGAGUAGUAAAUCGACGAUUUAGAUCUUAAAAACUUACGAUUUUACAAUUUUAGUAGUGGCUAACGAUUCGGAUUCCACUUAAAAUCAAUGAUUAGUGCAAUCAGAUAAAAUCCCAAUCUAAACCUUAGAAUCUCGUGAAAUCAACGAUUUUCAUGUAUUUUACGAUUCUACUUUCUAAGAAAAAUUGUCCAUUAGUCAUUUACUCUCACUCGGUUUGGUUUAGAAUAAAAAAUUUAGGCAUAAUUAGUAAUUUAUUUAUUUUAUUGAUAUAUUUUGAGUAUUAUAAUAAUAAGUAAAAAUUAAAAUAAUUAAAAUAGUUUAAAAUAAUGCAUUUUUUUCUUUAAAUUUGUUAUUAUAGAACUCAUGAAAUCUUACGAUUUUACGCUUCGAUUCUACAAUUAUGAUUUCAGGUCAUUUUUGGAUCUCAUACUGACUCGACGAUUUUACUACCUUGCAUAUAACCAAAUUAUAAACAACUGAACCGCGAUUAUGCGGUGUAGAGUUAGCUGUUAAGUACAUAACCAAUUUUUUUUACUAAAAUCUGCUGAUAUAUUAUUAAUUAAUAGAGUGAAUUACAUUAUUAUGCUCAAGUUGAUCUAGCAAGAAAACUAGAGGAAGAUCCAUCAACACAAAAGGACGAUUCCAAAAAGCAUUACAAUGAGCCAUGAUAUGAGCAGCGUUAUUGCUUCUCGUCGGCACCUAUCGUUCAACCCUUCCAAUAAACGAUGUAUGUUUCGGUAAAUGACCCCUAGUUUUGUCUCAUCCUCAUUCGCCUGAUGUAUCGCCUUAGUGACUAAACUGUUGUCGCUUUCCAACUCAAUCUUAGCAAAACCGUGUCGCACUACUAACUGAAUAUUAAACUCCACAGCUACAGCUUCUACAUGAACUGGUUUCCAUAACCCCUGCAAUUUCAGAAUCACAGCCAUGAUGAAUUUACCGCCGGCAUUAUGUAUUACCACUCCAGCACCCAUCCCUUCCACUCCCAUAAUACUUGCAUCGGAACUAAUCUUAACAUAUACCUGUCUUUGGCGCCGCCAAGGAAUUAGGGAGGAUUUUGUAGCCUCCUUCUCGACCGGCUUGACCAUGAUUCUAUAAUUUUUCCAGAAAUACUUCGGCUCUCGCCAAGAUCUCAGUUUCCAGGAGUCGACGGCCAUUACAAACACAAGCAUUACACGCCUUUCACAAGAACCAAAAGAGAGUGCUCCAUCGUUCCAGAACAUCGUUUGUUUGCCUUAUUCUAAUUUCCUCAAACCAUUCCCCUCGCUGUCAGAGUUACAAUAGGUGAAACAGUUUGAUAGUGCCGACUGCCUCCAAAGUCGACUAGUCCAUGAGCAUUGGCCAAAAAAUGAGCCUGUGUUUCCACGAGACCAUAAAAAUCAUAGCUAUCACUAUAUCUUUGGCUUCAUAGGAAGAAUAUUCCUCACAAACUUCCAUAAGAACUACUUAACCUUCGGAUGAAUUUGCAACCCCCACAAACACUUUCAUGUUUCUGGUGAUCUACAUGGAGUAAUACUCUUGAGAAAUCUUAUAACUCUUGAACAAAAAGUGAUACCCGUCCCUAGUUGUGUACUGACCAUUUCUGCUACCACACCAAAUCAAGCGGUCCAGUUCCCCCAUACCUCUUAAUGGAAUUUGUAGGAUAACAUGCACAAAAGCUAGACUAAAGCAGCGUUCAAGAAGUGCAUGACUCCACUAAUCGAUAUCUGGAUCGACUAACUCCCUUACUGUUGCAUCUACAGGGAGCUCCUUUGGAGGGGUGGGAAUAAAAUCCUCCUCAAAGUUAGGCAACCACCGACCUCCCCAAAUUCGGAUGGACACCCAUUCCGUACACGCCAUCGGAGUCCAUUCCACAAAAGUUCCUGAGCAUCAAACUCCUCCAAAAAAAACUUGGUCUGUAACCCACAUCUGCAUCCAGAAUAAAAGAAUUCUUAUGGUACUUAGCUUUAAUCAUCCUAGCAAUAAGGGAAUUAUGGCAUUGUGGAAGACUCCAGAGUUGUCUUGCAAGUAGCAUUGAAAUCACGGAGGUCUCGAAAACCAAUCCCACCUUCAAUCUUAGAGCAAAUAAGUUCCUCCUUUUUCACCCAAUGAGUUCUUCUCUCAGUAUUUCCCUGACCCGCCAGAAGUUAGAGAUAAGACUAUAAAUGUCAUCAAUAAUACCAUCCGGUAUUUUGAACAAUGUCAUAGCAUAAGAUAAUUGGGCUUGAACAACCGACUUAAUAAGCACUUCUCAUAUUGCAAUAGACAUAACCUUCUCUUUUCGUCCCUUUAACUUUCACCGCACACGAUCUCUAAGAUACCAGAAAAGUUUUUUUUUAUCUGUCAACUUCGGUGACCAAACCAAGAUACAUAUCAUGUGUAUCCACUAUAUGCAUACACAUCACCGAGCUGAUAAUAAACUUGUUCUGAACACUGAAAUUCCUGCUAAAAGAAAUUUCAGAUUUCUGGAAACUGACAAGAGGACCCAAUUCUCAUUUGUAGGCCUUAAGAAUCUCCUUAACAACCCGACAUUCCUGCACAUUAGCUCGAGCGAACAGAAUACUGUCAUAUGCAAAGAAUAAAUGUGAUACUGAAGGAGCCCCACGAGCAAGCUCCAGCCCUUGAAUACUCUUAUGGUUUGUGGCUUUCCCAAACGCCACUGAUAGGCCCUCUGCGCACAGAAGAAAAAAGUUAAGGAGACAAUGGGUCACCUUGUUUGGGGCCACGUCCCGGCACAAAUGAUCAAAGUGGUGGCCAUCAACCAGCAACGAGAAAGAGACAUAUCUAACAAUCAUCAUGAUGCGAUGGAUCCACCGCCCAUGAAAACCCAAUCGUCCCAUUACCCUUUCAAGAAAUAUCCACUCAACCAUGUCAUAGACUUUUGCCAUAUCCACCUUAGCUUCAAAAAAAGCCUGUCUUAGCCUUUGUAGCCUUCUUCAUAGUAUGAACAUUUCAAAUGCUGUCAUAACAUAAUCGGCAAUAAAUUUGCCAGGAACAAAGCCACUCAGAGCUAGGGAAAUAAUCUUAUCCAUAAUUGUUUUCAACCUAUUGGCCAAGACCUUCACAACAAGUUUACACAAUACAUUGCACAAACUAUUCGCCAUUGACGAAACUCUUUUGGAGUUUCAAGAGAUUUAACUUUAGGGAUAAAACAAAUGUGAGUAUGAAUAAGAUCCACUAACAACACUCCUCGCUCUAGAAUAUUAAGAACAACAACAACAACCUCAUCUCCAAUAAUAUGCCUGAAUUUUCUGAAGAACAAAACAGACAUACUAUCUGCACCAGGUGAUUUGUGAGAACCCAUUUUUUAAGAGCCACACAAGUUUCCUCUCUAACAAACGAUUUGCACAAGACUUCAUUUUCAACCUCUGAGACGCAAGCUUUUACCAAAUUGAGAAUAGGUUUAUCCUCUUGAAACCCAUCCGACGAGAAAAGAUUACAAAAAUAAGAGGAAAGGCACUAUGAAACCUGGUCCUGACCAACAAACCAUCGACUAGGAUCAUCCCUCAAACAUUUGAUGGUAUUUUACGAAGUUGUAGCCUUUUGAUGAAACAAAUUCAUGUUCAUAUCACUGUCUUUCAGCUAAUCAACUCUUGCCCUCUGUUUCCAGUAAGAAUCUUCAUUAGCUUCAAGAAAAAAAAAAUUCUAAAUCAAGACGCUGUCUUUGAUCCAAUGCAAUAGCCGAUUCCCGACCUUUCAAUCACAUCCAGGGCUUUAGUAAUUUUAUGCCGCUGCUUUCCAAAAUUUGGGAAAGCCCUUGUACUCCACAUAUCCAUCCUACUUCGACACAAUUCAUACCGUUCCUCAAUAUUCCUUUGCAUGGUUUCAUCCCAAACUUCUUGGAUAAGUUUACUACAAUCAACAUGUGUAGCCCAAAUAGGAUCAAACCUGAUAUUAAUACCCUCAUCACCCGUCGUAUUACACAGGAUUGGACGAUGAUCCGACGUGUGCCUAUCUAAAUGAUAACCAAAUUAUUAAAAAAUAAACUCAAUUAUAAGUAGAUAGAAAAUUUUCAAAGUUUACGAACAUAAUAAGCAUAGCUAAAGGUUUAAGACUAGCUAUAUGACUUAAUUAUGCAACUUGAAUUCUAAAUUUCAUAAGUCAUAUUAGAGUUUAAAUCAUUAACUCGUGAAUUGGUACAUUCGAUUGAUCAUUAAGAUUUUAUAUGUGAAUGAAGGAAAUAUAAUUUAUAAACAUUGAGCGUAAUUUAAGCCCUUUUAAAAUAAUCCUUAUAGAUUAAAUAUUUUAUAUUAUUUAAGAGUUAGCUAAUCUUAAACUGUAUUAAAGUUGUGUGAGAGAACAUUGUUUCCACAUCAACUUUUGUUCAAAUUUGGUAAAUCUACAUUAGCAGGAGUGUUAUUAUAAAAUACUAAACCAUAAAGUAAAAUAAUAGUAACAGGAAAAUAACUAUUCAAACACCACUAAAUAUUACACAAAUCAUUUCUAAGGUUUACCUAUCCCACUCUCUUUAUUUGCAACACUUCUUUUAAAAAAUGAAAUAACUUCUUCAAUUUUAUUUUAAUAUGUUUUGGAUUUCUUGCAUUAUUUGGAUCUCUCUUAUUAUGAUGUGUGUGACGAUUGUAGAACCCGACUCUAGUAGACCCCAGUUGAAUCAUUGGUUCCACCCACGCAACCUACUCGAAUUCUAAGUUAGACCAACCUCAACCCAUAACUACUAAAAAAUGCAUAUAAACAAGCGAUUAAAGACUGAACUUGAAACCUUUAUUAAACCUUGGAAUUCUGACAAGACAUGGAUCCUAGAUGCUUAAAUACAAUUCAACAGAAAAAAAAGAAUAGACACAACUCCAAUUCUUCAAACACAUCAAAACUUAUAUCUACUGAUAUAAAAACCGACCAACUCUCUCCCCACCUUCAGCUCUAGUACCUAUAACUGUACACAUAUAGAUACAACAAAAAGACAAACAUCCACUGGGGUUAGUGCUAAUCACUGAGUGGUCAAAACCUUACCAAAGGCAGAGCUACAUCCGAUCAAGAGAAAGGGAACAUCAAAGAAGAUAAUACAUCAAUUCCCCAGUUCCACCCUAAUAAUACAACCCUACUAGUCAAGUAGUAGGAUACCUAGCAUCAACCACCCCUAUCUGUGUGGAUACCCUCAUAGUGGAUCAGACCAGGAAACCACCCUAACCGUAUGACAAACAUCUAAAUCAUACUCGUUUUUAUGACUCGGCUUGUGUCUUAGCCCUAGGGACCAACUGUAUAGUACAAUCGUAUUUUAUAAUUUUCAAAUUACUAUAUGAUGUAAAUUAAUUAAUUUAAUUAUAAGUAUAUACAUAUGUUUUCCAUUUCCUUAUAUAGAUAUCGUGGUAGAGAUUUUCAACUUGAAAUGACAUUUUCAUAACUCCUUCCGUGGGAAAUUUCCUUUUUCCAUUUUCUCUUGAUAAAGUCUUCCAAAGUCUACAUUAAAAUAUGAAAUAAAAAUAUNNNNNNNNNNNNNNNNNNNNNNNNNNNNNNNNNNNNNNNNNNNNNNNNNNNNNNNNNNNNNNNNNNAUUAAAAUAUGAAAUAAAAAUAUGAGACACUAAUCAAAUCUGAAAACUCGGUUCAGUUAAAUCAAGCAAAUCGUACACAGUAUUGUAUAGAACAUAGUACAAAAGUUAAUCAAAAUACUAUACGCACGGAAACAAAAUAAUCAACAACAUGAUUAUAAUCAGGGAUGAACAUUUAUAUGUCCAAUUUACAUGUAAAACAUAUAAUGUAUUAACGAGAUAAAUAUAUCUUUUUGUUUUCUUCUUCCCCGAUGAUAACAUGAUUGUCAUCUAAGGUCCUUAACUUAUCGCAAAAGGUCUAGUUAAAACUCAAAACACACACAAAAAUCAGAAACCAACAUCACCAAAUAAAAAAAAAAAAAAAAAAAAUCUAUGAAUACUGAACGAAACCCGAGAAUUGAUCUAUCAGAAAUGUAAUCAAAUAUUUUACCUUCAAUUGCUCGGUGAUGGUUGCAUCACACUGAUCUAUUAACAGUUGGUUACGAGAGUGUUGUUAUUCAACCAGCAGUUGUUGAUUCAAAUAGUAUAGUUCUUACGGUUAGAUCAAUGAAUCCAUCAUACGAUUGACCUGUCACAAUCUCACUUCUUGUUAGCACUUGAUUAUUAUCCAUGGUGGAAUUGAAAAUUGGUAUGGGUUUCAAUGUGUACAUAUGAAACCUAUUUAUAACGCAAAGUGUGAGUAAAAACAUAACAAUUGCGUUGCUGAACAGAUCGUAAAGAUUAUUGUUUGCUGUAUAUAUAAUAUUUUAAAUAAUCUUAUAAAAUAUUACCAAACUAUCAUCAAAUGAUAAUGGGCCAUAAAUCAAAAAGUUCAUAAAGGUCCAUAAAAUUAGUAAUCAACCAUGCAUCACAAGCCCACCAAGACCAAAACUCAGAGCUCAGUACAUGGUCCAGGGGACAAAUUCCUCCCUUUGAUCCAGUCAACAGUGGGAAUUAGGAAAAGCACCCCCAACAACCCAUAUGUAGUUCAUACAUGAUGCUACUAUUCAUUGACAAAUUCGCCUCGACUAUUUUCCAUUAAAAAAUAACACAAAUGAUUUAUUUUCUAUCUUUCCUAUGGUUUUGAAUCGAUGAAUGAAUUAAGGUUUGAGUACUUGGUAUCAUUAUAUGUUAUGUUUCGUCGUUAAGCAUAAUUAGCUACAAGGGAUGAAGUCUGAUUAGAUUCACUGUUACGCGGCGGCGGUGGUUAUUAAGGAAUGGUAGUGAAGUAGAUGUGGCGGUUGCGGUAGUCGCAAAGAUGGUGAUUGGAUUUGCCCUAAUUCUAGAGGAUUUUUGUUCUUGAAUGGUAGUAAAGGAUUGUUAUUCUCGUGUAAUCUCAAUUGAAUAUUAGUUUGCGGGGUAUUCUCAUCCCACCAGUUGGAUAUUGUUUUUUACUCUUGGAAAUCGUAGUUUGCCUAUUCUGAUAUUCGAGGGAUGGAAAUAUAAGUGACUUGUAAUCCUAGUUUGCCCAAUCCUUCUUCAGCCAGGUCCAUGUUCAUCGCUCCUCCUACAGUGGCGAAUCAACUAAUGAGACUCGUAAGUCGAACAUGGAGGCGAGGGUUCAAGAACAGUAGGACAUAGGAUGAGAUGCUUUAUAUCUACAUGAACUGUAGCCGAUUGUUAAUGGAUAAUCAGAGGACAAGUGAGAUGGAUCAAUAUCGCUUUAUUAUAACUUUUUUUACUGCAUGAAUGAUCAAUUUAUCAGUAUUUCGACCAAUAGAAUUUGUGAUUAAUUGAUUAUGUGGAUUGAUUUCUAUAGGAUUCAACCGAAUAUUUGACAAAACAAACUGGGUGAUCAAUUGCAGUAUAAUACAUAAAGAUCAAGACUACAUAUACAUGUAUGGUAAUAUGAGGAGUAAAUAGAAAUUAAUUACCUAAAAAUCCCCAUAGGAUGCCUAAUCACUAUCUUGUUGUAUGCCACAUCAGGGAUGUACCGGUGCAUCUGAGUCACUAGAAAAUUCACAAAAUUAAAUUGGAAUCCAGGUUGUUUUUUUGUUUAGAUAGACUCUUGCAGAGACAAAAAGAUAACAAACACACACAAAUUUACAAUCAAUCCGAGAACUGAGGAUUACCAACAACACUCCUGGGCAAUAUUUAAGCCAUACGAGGCAUACAAUGGACGACUCUUUUACCUGACCGUUGAAUUAUCUGGAGACGGAUCUCUAAUAGCUAGGCUUCUGAUUGCCAAGCUUGAGUGUCUGGCGUUGUUGCGGGUCGUCACCAUCUUUGUGUCUCCUUUGAUACUUACCCUUUUAGCGACAAAUUAUAACAUAGGGAAGUCUGUUAUCUAACAGGCAAACACAAGUCUCUGCGGUUCCAAAAAUCCAUUGUAUAGUGGUCGUUGAGGAUGAAGCCACAAUUCCCCCUCUUCUUAGUCAUCCCCAUAGCCGAGAAUAAUUGCCAAAAACUCACAAAACGAAGAACAGGAUUAGGGUAAAUGUCUAGGCAACCACCAUCUAAUACAAAAAUCCAGACUGAAAAAGCAAGGAAACAAAGAAACGUAAACAAACAAACAAGAGGGAAACAAACAAAACAAACAGACAUGCACAUAUAAAAAAGGGUGAAAAUAUAAUGAAUGAAAUAGAGGAGGAGACUAGUGAACUUCCCUAAAAUGAAUGUGUCGGCCGAGAAAUAACAACAACGCGAAAUCCCGGACUGCAAUGAACCACCAAAAUUUGGUGGAGAUACUCCAAGAAGCGACAUCCACUAGAAUGUGAUCGAGCAAGAUUUUGACGACAAUCAAUACAAAUGGCGCGGUAAUGAGAUUCAGCGAGAACGAAUCAAGACUUGACCAGAACCGUGGUCGACGAUGUAGGAACAGUUGCCCAUGGAAGUUCAGAGCAGUGUACGUAAUAACCUCCAUGAGAGGCCAUAUCAUAGUGGUACCUUGAUCUGUGUUGAUUGUUUCUCCCAGUGAUCUGGAACGAAAACUGGACGAGUUUGAUCUUGAGGCCUGGAAGGAGACGAGAGAAUCAGCGGGGACGACGGGUGGAUCUGGCCGAAAAAGUUGUCGUUCGUUGUUCAAGAAUAACUGCCUCAGAGAGAAAGAUCCUUUUGGGAGUUGCUUGCUAUGUAUUACCCCGUCUGGAAUCUAGGUUGCUUGAAUAGGAAAAUUGAGUGGGAGAUUUGAGUUCCAAAUCUAUAAUCUAGAGAAUUGGUUUGAAAUAGAAUAUUUGGAUUGUGGAAAUGAGAGAUUCUGAGGGAAUCGAAAUAUCUAAUGGUGGACCUAAGUGAUUUCGGUACCAAAAUGAACUCUCACUCAACCAUGAGAGAUUUUGAGUGAUUUCAUAUGACAUUAUUAAUAUACCCUCGUCUCAUUUUAAAACUACAAUAAAGGAAAUGGAAAGGCUCACAGAUGAAAAAAAAUGAAGAAGCUGGGAUUUCAACUGUUGGAAGAAGAUUUGGAAGUUGAAUAUUUUAGGAAAACUCAAAGUGUUCCUUUGAAAGGGAGGCUAUAAUAUCCUUCAAGUUGGUGUUAAGCUGAGUAAGAAAGUUAAGAAUAUAAGUGAUGAAUGCCCAAAUUAUAAAAUGAAAGAGACACUUAAGCAUUGUUUGGUAGAUUGUAUAGUAGGGUGGCUAAAAUUUGGAAUAAGACCCCUAUAGCACACCUUUUCUCUCAUGUUAACAAUUUAACUUGCAAAGUUUGGCGGCAUAAGGUACCGAAGGAAGCAACAAAUGAGGAGCUUGAGAUUUUUUGUGCUUUUGUGUGGUAUUUUUGGAAAGAAAGAAAUAAUUUUUGUUUAAUAAUAAAAUUUUACAGGAAUCGGAAGUCUUCUCAAAGGCUGAAAAAUUCAUUAAUCAGUUAUGUGAAGUUCAAUGAGAGAUCAAAAGCAAAAUUAGAAGGUAAGAAGAAGAGAUUGCAAAUGGGAGAAACCAUCAAUGGGGAAUGGGACUUAGCUAUAUUAUGAGAGAUUGAAAUGAGAGGGUGGUUCUUGCGACAAACAAGAGUGAUGUUGUUAAAUGGGUGCCCAACAUUGCAGAAGCGAGGGAGAUGUUGUUUGGACUGCAAAAAGCAGUCAAGUACAGAUUCGAGCCACUAAUCGUUGAGUUUGAUUGCAAGAAGCUGAUCGAUUUACUUUGGAAGAAUAAAGAAUGUCGGAUGGAAAUUGGUAAUCUUUGUAGAGAUAACACGGCAUUGGGGGAGAUGAUUGAGAUUAGAGAAUGGAACUUUAUUUAUAGAGAAGCCAAUAAGGCUGCACAUAUCCUUGCUCAUCUCAAUUCCUCUAACUUUGGUGAGUUUUUAUGGAAUGAUUGUACCCCUGUACAAUUGUAUAUGUUGUAGCCCAUGAGUCUCAUUUGAUUGAUACAUAAUGAAAACCCAACAUUUUUUGUGAAUAAUUAAUUUUAUUUCAUAAAAAACACUUUAUUCCCAUGCAUGAUCUAUCCACUAUUCAGAAUUCUCUAAGAUAUUUGGAAAAUUCAACUAUAACUACUAAUGAAAGCUAUUACAAAAUCAAGAACUCGGAGUUUGCAUAUGUAGGCUACUAUGAAUCCUCUCCUCCUCAAUUUUGGAAUCAAUUAUGGCAAUUGGGUUUUCUGUAAUAGUGCAAAUCAUAUCAGCAACUUCCACUCGCUCUCCUCCAAAAACUCUUCUACACCUUUCUUUCAAAAUAUAUGAAACAAUCAAACACCACAUUAGCUUCUUAGCUUUAUGAAUCUUCGAUUUACUCCUCCAAAUCUGGCAAGCUUUUCUAACAUUUUCCUCCCAUUUCCCCCAUCUCGCAAUCUUCGGGAGAAGGGUAGCUAUUAUAGUAUUCAAAUAGUUGCAACUGAAAAACAAAUGCUCUCUAGCAUCAACACCUAGAUCACCAAGCACACAAGAAAUAUCAAUUGAGAUCAUCUAGCUAGCAAGUGUUUGCUUCACUGCAAUUCUAUCCUACAUAAUCAACCAGCACAUCAUACUCGAACUUGGAAUUUGUCAACCUUUCCAUAACAAAGGUGCCCAAUCAACAACUUCUUGGCAUGCUCUAAUUCCUUCCCGGACAUGAUGAAGAUUAUAACGGGACAUAAUUGCACCAUCCCAUAAGACUUCAUUAGAUGAACUAACAGAAAUAUGCAAAUGUACCUUGCUUCUCACUUUCAGAAUUCGUCUUCAUAUCCAUGAGCCCGUAGCCACCUCCAUUUUCCAAAGAUCCUUUUGCUUGAUUAUGCAUUAAUAAAUCCACGGUACCUACAAUGACCCUCCCCUUACAAGCAAAGCCUGGAGAUGCCUAAUGGUAUUUGCAGCAUUUCAUGAAUACAUGUCUUUCAAACCAAGUCCACAUUCUUCUUUAGGAAAUGUUAGAGUAUUCCAAACAAUUGUGCAACGCCCACCCUCAAGUUUCCCCAUAAGAACCUAUUACAUGGAUUCUUAAUGUCCUUUAACAAAACUUUUGAGAGGAGAAAAACUGACAUCCAAUACUGAAGGAUGCCUCCAAUUACAGAUGAAAUCAGCUAGAUCUUCCUAGCAUAUGAUAAACUCUUAGCCUUCCAAUAUGUAAUUCGAGAAGUGAUUCUAUCAAUAAGUACUCUGUAAUCAGCUGCUUUUAGUUUACCUGACGUGAGAACAAUUCUAAGGUAUCUAAAAGGGAGGGCACUCACUCUAAAACCAGAUCUUUCAAUCAUUUCCAAAACAUCAGAAUUAUAUGAGCCUGCAAGGUAUAUAUUACUUUCUUUGGGUUAAACUUCAAUCCUAAGAUAGCUUGAAACUUAGCUAGCACAUCAACAACACCCUUAAUCUCAUCCACUGUAGCUUUUGUAAAAACUAUCAAAUCAUCCGCGAACCCAAUGUGUGUAAUCUUGCUACCUGCACAUUGGGGAUACAUAGCAAAUUCUCCUCUCUUUACAGCUUGCUUAAAGAGGCAUGAUAGCACUUGCAUACUGAUAACAAAUAGAUAAGGCAAAAUGGGAUCACUCUACCUCAAUCUUUUUUUAGCACAAAAAUAUUCACAUAAACUUCCAUUCAAGUUAACUGAGAGCUUUGUUAUUUCUAAGCAUUCUUUGAUCCAUCUUAUAAAAAUCUCAGGGAACUUCAUCACACUUAGCACAUCAAACAGAAACUCCCAUUCAUUGGAGUCAAAAGCUUUCAUCAAGUCAAUUUUGAGAGCACACCAUGGAGAGAUAUGGUUCUUACCAUAAGUACGAAUCAAUUCAUGAGCCAAGAGUAUGUUUUCACCUAUACUUCUUCCUUUUAUGAAUGCCGUUUGAGAAGGAUUAAUGAGUUCUGGUAAAAUACUUUGGAGCCUGUUUUAUAACAACUUCGAAAUAGCUUUGUAAACAACAUUACAACAUGAUAUAGGCAUGUAAUAGUUUGCUUCAGUAGCAUUAAUCUUCUUCGGAGUUAGUGCUAUACUUACUGAAUUAACAAAAUUGGAAGCUUCCCCCCUUCAAAGAAAUAUAUAACUGUAUCUCUUGCAUCUUCUCCCACUAUUUUCUAGCAAAUCUUAUAGAAUCCAACAUUAUAUCCAUCAGGACCUUGAGCUUUAUCCCCAUCCAUAUCAUAAAAAGCCUGCUUAACUUUCUUCCUACUAAUUGGUUCAGUGAGUUUAUCACCUCGAGUAUCAGUCAACUUCCUCUUAAUAAUACUUUGAAAGUCAACUUUCAGAACUUCAGUACUUGUUCCCACCAGCUUCAUAUAGCAAGAGAUGAACGUUUUUGCAAUGUUGUCAUAGUCAUCCACCAUUUCCCCAAUUUCACUUCUAAUCUAUCUUAUGGUGUUCUUUGCUUGCCUUAUGCGAAUAAAAUCAUAAAAAUACUUUUUGCAUCCAUCUCUUUCACAAAUCAAAUUAACACACGAUUUUUGUCUCAUGAAACUAGCUUCAACAUUAUUCAGAGCUUCAAGAUUAAGCAGACUUUUAUUAACCUCUGCAACAUUCUGAUUUGUAGGACUUGAAUAAGCCUUAUACAUAUUCUUCCCCAGAUCAUCUACAUCAUUAGUGACUCUCUUAUGUAUUCUGAGUAAUGCUCACGAUUCAACUUUUUGAGUUCAUAUUUCAGAUUUCUCAGCUUACCAUAUAAUUUAUGGAAGGGGCGAUGAGUACUCUUUUGGCGCUAAGUUUCCUUUAAAAUUUCAUCAAACCUUUUGUUCUUCAUCCAACAACUAAAGAACUUAAAAGUUUUCAGCUUUGAAUUACUAUAACAGUCUGAAUCUACCAUGAUAGUACAAUGAUAUGAAGUUUGACAACGGAUAAUUGUUGCUUUAAUUCCUGAAUUUGUACCCUGCCAAUUAUUGUUUAUAAAGACACGAUCAAGUCUUCUUACAAUCAACUCUUCCUCCCUAUUAGUAAUCUAAGUAAACUUUGGACCUUGAACUAGAUGCUCCAAAAGUUCACAAUUCUUCAUAAAGUUUUAAAAAUCUCCCAUUGAAGUCCAGCUUGAAGGCAAAUUUGAUGUCACUUAAAGCUUAAGUAUAGCAUUAAAAUCUCAUGCAACUAUCUAUGGCACACCCUGCUGCUUUAAUCUGCCAAUAUCAUCAUACAGAACCCUCUGAUCUCCUCCAGACGUUGAAGCAUAAACAAAGGUGCAAUAGAUAGGGGAAGGUAGCUCAAUCAAAACAUGAAUACACUAACUAGCUGGAUGCUCCAAAAGUUCACAAUCCGCCAUAAUGUUUUGAAACUCCAUUGAUGUUCCGCUUGAAGGCAAGUUUGAUGCCUCUGAAAGACUAAGUAUAGCAUUAAAAUCUCCUCCAACUAUCCAUGGCACACCCUGCUGAUUUAGUAUGCCAAUAUCAUCAUACAGAACCCUCUGAUCUCCUCUAUACAUUGAAGCAUAAACAAAGGUGCAGUAGAUAGGGGAAGGUAGCUCAAUCAACACAUAAAUACACUGACUAGAUUUCCAUAUCACUCUAAGAGGAAUAUCUUUCUUCCCAACCAACCAAAUCUUCACAAGAUCUCUAUCAAAACACCGCUCAGAACUCCAACUCUUGAAAUGAGUAUCAAUAAAACCACCCACAUGCAUCCACUUUAUUCUUGGCUCAAGAACACCACAAACAUCUAUAUUAUACUUCUGUAAGUAGGACUGUAAUUCUAUAUACCUACUAUUUUUAUUAAAACCUCUAACAUUCCAUACCCAAUACUUCAUUUACGAGAGUCCCCCCCCCCCCCAGUCUGAAUCUACCAUGAUAGUACAAUGAUAUGAAGUUUGACAACGGAUAAUUGUUGCUUUAAUUCCUGAAUUUGUACCCUGCCAAUUAUUGUUUAUAAAGACACGAUCAAGUCUUCUUACAAUCAACUCUUCCUCCCUAUUAGUAAUCUAAGUAAACUUUGGACCUUGAACUAGAUGCUCCAAAAGUUCACAAUUCUUCAUAAAGUUUUAAAAAUCUCCCAUUGAAGUCCAGCUUGAAGGCAAAUUUGAUGUCACUUAAAGCUUAAGUAUAGCAUUAAAAUCUCAUGCAACUAUCUAUGGCACACCCUGCUGCUUUAAUCUGCCAAUAUCAUCAUACAGAACCCUCUGAUCUCCUCCAGACGUUGAAGCAUAAACAAAGGUGCAAUAGAUAGGGGAAGGUAGCUCAAUCAAAACAUGAAUACACUAACUAGAUUUCCAUAUCACUCUGAAAGGAAUAUAUUUCUUCCACACCUACCAAAUUUUUGCAAGAUCUCCAUCAAAACACUGCUCAGAACUCCAACUCUUGAAACGAGUAUCAAUAAAACCAUCCAUAUGCAUCCACUUUAUUUUUUGCUCAAGAACAGCACAAACAUCUAUAUUGUGCUUUUGUAAAUAUGACGGUAACCCUAUAUACCUACUAUUUUUAUUACAACCUCUACCAUUUCAUACCCAAUACUUCAUUUCCAAGAGUUACCCCCCCCCCCCCCCCCCCCACCCCCCCCUCCCCCCCGCUCUUCCGAUCUCCCCCCCUCCCAUGACCUCUACCACACACUUUACCUCUUUUGUUCUUCAUCACACUACCUCCUCAUGGAAUAAAAUCACCAAGAGUUACUGGCAUUGGCUGCUUCAAUUCAUCCCCCUCUUCCUCCUCUUCAUUUUAUUGAUUCCAAGGGGUUUGCAUAACUCUUCCAUUUCCUUUUGUUCUCCAUCCGGCCCAAAUAUAAUUUUCUUGUUUACUUCUAAGUCAGCACUAUUAGAAUCAACCCCAACACUACAUUCAAUAACUCCCCCGGGAGCCUCCAGCUUCAGGGCCUUCUCAAGCACCUCAAAAUUGUUACAUAAAUCCAUGUUCAAAUCAUCCACAUUAUGUGUAUUCAACACAACAUGUUCAUCAAUCUUCUCAACUUGCACAGUAUUCUCACAUGAUCCACUUGACUCAUCUUCCUUCUCUUCAUUUCCUUUAGACAUUAUUUCUUUCAGUUUUUCAUUUUGAAUCACCUUUUUCCUCCAACUCGGCUUAAGAGUCUCAUAUGAUCUAGUAACAGGGGAACUUAUCGCUAAUUCCAUACGUUCACCAUCCUCAAGAACAAUAUCAAUUGAAUCUGGGCAGCGAGAUUCAUGAGGUAUCAACCAGAUUUUAACAUCAAGUCCUGCACGAACAUAGAUACGAAUAGGCUGUCCUAUUUGAGCCACAACCCAUCUAACUCCUUCAGGAUAGAUCAGCUAUGGAGGAAGAGAAUGUAUAGUAAUCCAUACUAGUUUCUCUUUUGGCGAAAGAUCCAAUGGUUGAAUACCUUUAGACCAACGUCUCUAUACCAGAGUAGCAUGGUGGAUGUGCCACACCCUAAAACCCAGUCACAUAAUUCCUUAGAAGGGACCUCCAACAAAUAGAAUCCAGUACACAAAAUCGAUAUAGUUAUACUUCCUUCAUAUCCCCAAAGUCGAUUUGCCAUUGACACGAAAACUCUCAUUGGCGGACUCGAGCCUACAAACUACACAACCAAGGCUGCUUGCAUUCUUUGACACCCUUUAUCAAGCACCUCUUUAGGAAUCUUCACCACACCAUCAAUUAAAUAAUCAUCUAUAAGUUCCACUCUUCAGCAAAGGCUCCGGAUCCAAAAGUGAUGCCCAGGUUUUAGCAGGGGCAGCAUAAAACAGAGGAUCGGAGACUAAAGGAGCCAAGGAAGAGGAAUCGGUGGAGAUCUGGGGAUCGGAAAUGGGUGAAGUCGGAGAAGGGGGAGUGGAUUUUCCAGACGGAACUUUCGUCAUUGAGAUCGAUCAGAAAAGCAGGCAGGCGUGAUUCUUCUAAAGAUCUUGGAGAUUCUUCGGCAAAGAUCUCGCUCACCGAGAGUACUCCAAAGAAGUGCACCAAUAGAGGAAGCGCUCAGGCGACGGUCUUUGAGACACGGAUAAAUCACUUAUGUUGAGAGAAUUUUCAGUCCUUGUUUCCACUUUUCAUUUAAAAAACCCAGCAUUUCAUUCUAAAAAACACAAUAAAGGUCACUACUUCCUUUCUCAUGCGUGUGGAUAUUUAUGAUAUUUUUUAUUUAAAUUUUUUAUAUAAAUUUUUUGUAUUCUAAUCACCCAGACUAAAAUCUCUCUAAAUCUAUCAUCCAAACAAUCUAUUGGUUAAAUAGCAUAUACACUCAAACUCUCUAACUAUUUCAAUAUACUAGCUAUUUGAAUUCUCCUUCUACGAAUUUGCAUGCACAAACAAACGACCCCUAAACCCUAAUGAUUCAAUUGUUCUGAUCCAUUAUCUUAUUUUAAGAUGAUUAAAGUCAUCUCCUCCUAUAGGAAAACCCUGAUAAUCUGUUAGCACGGGUUCUGCACGCCAAAUACCACCCUUAUUACCAUUUUUUGGAUGCACACGUCGGGUCGAGACCCUCUAAGGGUUGCUAGAGCCUGCUCCACGGUCGGUCAUUGCUCCUUCAGGGCUUUCGUCGACAGGUUGGAGACGGCUCCACCAUCCCUGGCUUCCUACUCCUGGACCACGUCGACCAACCCCUCGCACUCCUGGUCAUUUCACUGCCACGUCCUGGGUGGCUGACUUCAUUGCUCACGGGACUUGGCGGCUUGACCUCCUUCAUCACUUCUUCCCACCGCAUACUAUCCGUCGAAUAUGCUUUGUCCCUCUUCCCAUUUCCCCCACCUCAGACCGGUGGAUAUGGAACCACUCUGCUAACGGAACCUUCUCAACAUCCUCGGCAUUCCACUUUGCUCAGCGGCGGCCACUUGCCAAACGCGAAGCUGGCUUCCCCGCUUGACUCCGCACUCUGGCACACCGUCUGAUCCCUCCCAGUUCUCCCAAAGUUGUGCGUCUUCCUUUGGCGUAUUCUACACCGAAUCCUCCCCACCCGUGAGGGCCUACAUGAUCAAGGGAUGACUCUUGACACCUCCUACCAUGUCUGCAUGAACACUGAGGAGUCAGUUGAGCACCUUCUCUUUCGGUGCCCGCUCACUCGGUGCCUGGGGGCACUGACUUGUUUUCAUCCCCUCCCUUUCGAGAACACGAUUGUUUGGCGCUCCUUGACCUAGUCCUCUCCCGAUCUUCGUUCCCGUAUCGUUCUACUAUGGUGGUGCAUAUGGAAAUCCCAGAAUUUGGUUGUCUUUGAGCGCCGCCAGGUCCUUCCAGAGGUCCUUCAUCGACAAUUCCUACGCCAGGUUGCGGAGGUGCCGCUCCUCCGCCCCCUUUUUCGACAACCAACUGUCACGACUCCUGCUGCAUCGGCCCUUGGGUGGUCGCCUCCGCUGGCCCCACACCUCGAGAUUAAUGUCGAUGGAGCGGGUUUGGCCCCGAUAGGUGGUGUAGUGGGGUUGGUAGUUCGAGAUGCAGGAAGAGUAGUUCUACUGGGUGUUGGUCGGACAUAUCCAGGAAUCCUUGAUCCCUAUGUCUUGGAGUUCCUGGCUUCUGGCAGGUUGAUUUAGAAGGUGAUGCAGAGCAAGCCCUUUCCAGGCUGCGACAACAGAGUCCUCGGUGUGUGGCCGGUGGCGCCAUUAUUGUGGGGGUCCUCGCAUACACAAAGGUCCUCACUUUUUUACGUCUCCUAAACAGUGUGAAGACCAAUUUCACUAUCUGGGCCGAUAUUUAAUUUUUGUUGUGUCCCUUGCUAUCUAGAUUUCCCCUUGUGAAACUAUAUCUCUGCCAAAAAAAAACAGCCAUCUCCUAUACAGUGUCAUACAAUGUCAAUGGUAAUAUGUGCAUCAAAUAAAAUUUAGCAAAAUUUAUACCGUUUGUUUAUUUUGAAAAUAAUUAUCUAUUUGACCAACUGGUGUGUUGUUAGAAUCUAAACCUUCCAAGCAAUCGCUUAAUCAUGCAUUCUCCACUUUCAAAUGGUGCUAAGUUUGAGUUCGAAAUGAAGAAGCGAAAGAUACACGCUUGACCAUCCAUCAAUCACUUAAAAACGUUGUGUGGCACAGAAAGGACCCAGGAAAUUAGUAGCGAAUUUUCCUCGUGUCGGACCAUGGCAUUGUCUUCUAGGUAACCCCGAUAAAUCAGUUGGCUCCUACAGGAGAGAAAUGUCGAAAAUCAUGCCUUCAUGACUGCGUACAAUGGAUCGGGUCCCGGCUACUUCAUGCACUUUCAAUCCAUGUUGAGUGGCUUCUUUCACUACUAAAGAGUCCAUGCUGCAGGAGAAAGAACAUCAUCAGUGCCAAAAUAUAUAAGAAAACUCCUGUGCCUCGGCUGCAACCGAAAAGUACACAUCAAGCAAGUUACUGACAACAGAAGAAUAAGCAAUGGUUUGCCUACUCAAAGAAAGUCUCCGAGUAAUCUAGUUGACGAAAUAAAAGAUAUUAAGUAGACCAUAUAUAUAAAUAUUAAAUCCUUACACUUUAGCCCGGGAUACAUAGGCCAGUAUGAAUCUGCAUUUGCCUCUUUGAAAGCGAAGUAACUGUUCCACAGUAUCGAAAAGCAGAGGGAUGCUUGAUUGCUGAAAACGUAAAUGCUGUUAAGGUUGACAUGGAAUGCUCAGUUGCUAAUACUAUACUACAUGAGAUGGCGGCUUAGCAAAAAGUCAGGAUAUAGAUAUCAGCUCCCAGGAUUAGAUCGAAACCACCAUGUGAUCUUUCUAGAAUUUGGUUUACUUGAUCUGAGUUUCCCCAGUCUAGCUUCUCAGCAUGUAAUUCUGCAUAGAUACAUACAUUUAUAUGAAAAAGGUGAUAGGAUAGAGAAAGAAAUUAUUUUUGAAGAUUUUUAUUUCUCUUCUUUUACCAGCACAACAAUCAGGAUUCUCAGAGGAUGACUGGAUAUCUACGUUCUUCUUAAGAAUCUGAAAUAAAUAACACAGACAUAAUUCAAAAUCGCGAGGCAGAAACAUGGGGAUUCAAGUUUUGACAUCUAUGUAGCAGUCUUGCCUUGAUAACUUCAUUAUUAUGGUCCGUCAACACGACUCUUUUACAAAAUCUACUGCAAAGUAUCCCAGUGACUCCUAUACAACCACAGAAGGAGAGGAAAUGCUGUCAUGAGAUCAUUAAUAGACAGACAGAGAAAAGCUGAACAGGCUUUGCAAAUAAACAAGUAGUCCUAAAAUUAUAGCCCAAUCUAAGAGUCCUUUACAGCUUCUACACCUGCAUAAGUGACCAGACACCACAGGCUAGUAAUUGGCUGGAACUUGAAGAUAAUCAUGUAACAGAUAAAUGAGGUUCGAGGAUUAAGAACGUGGAGCAAAAAAGGAAAGACAGGUACAAUCUUCUGUUUCAAGCUACAUCAAGAAGAAGUGUUCUGUCUAACUCUUAAGAAUAAUUUACUGCUUUACAAAUACAAAGUGUUCGAGUAUGUUUAAACCAGACAACAAACAUUUUCUGAAAAUGUACAUGCACUGAAGGCAGUUCCUUUCUUUACUUCCAAGUGCUAAAAGUUCACAUAUUAUCAGAAAGCCAUAACGAAGAGAAGAAACACAUCCAGUCAAACCGAUGAAGAUAACAGAUAGAGAAAAACGUCACAAGUCUUGGAGAAAGUCUUACCCACACCAGACCCUAAUUCGAGCACAGAACAUCCCCGUAGAAUCUCUGCAUUUUCUGAUAGAUAAUUGUUUAAGAGGGUGGCACCAGGCCAUACCAGUUGUCCUGUCAAAUCAAAAUCAGCUGUGACAACUAUAGUUAGAACUUAUCUUCGGACAUACAGCAACAAUUGGUAUUGAUGAAGCAUGUACGCAGUGAAUUGUGCCUUAGCUAACAUGUUCACAGUUCACCACUAAUCUCUAGUGGAGACAAGAGAUAGCAGAUGCAUCCCAAAGACGUGUUUAGUAUUGGAAAUACAAGGCAUAAAUGCAUAAUUCAUAUUGGCACAAGAACAACUUUUCAGAGCUCCAACAUCAAAUAAGAACAAACAGUCGACUCGCUAAUGGGAGCAGACCCAGUUAAACUAUGUCAAGAAUACCCAACAACCAUUACAUUCUACCAAAGCAUAAAGGGUUCUGAUAUCAUGGGCAUCGAAAAACCAAUUUUGCUACGAAAAACAAAGGAAACCUCACUAGAAGCAGUCUGAAGACACAACAACUGAAGAGAGUGAGAGCCGAACGUGAAAUUCGUCAACUGGUAACUGCAUAAGAGAGGUAAAGACAUUUCUACACGAAUUAGAAAGAGCAUUAACAACUAAAAUCCGUAAUCAGAGACAGCUAGAGUUGAGCAUGAGUUACUCACUCGUCAUUAAUGAAGAACGAUUCGUCUAAACAAACAAUCUCUUCUUCUUCUUCCUCUUUUCCUUCAUUCGCUGUUCUCAUUCUUCUACGAGCAGCCGUCUCCACCGAUUGAUUGAUGUUUUCUUCACUGCUUUCUCUCAUAUUUCGCCGUAUUCGAAUUCGACCUCUAAGCUUCACUUGAAACUCGGCUCUGUAAUGACUGCGCACCAAUAUGCAAGUUUAGUACCUGUUUAGUUAUUAUUUUUGGCUGGAACUAUUUUGUAACGAGCGUUAUUGUUCCGCUACCGCCCGGGCAGUGUAGUUUGGGUUUGACUAGAUGGUCGGAUGUGAGGAGGUGUCGAAGCUAAUAAGGUAUUUUGGUUAAAAUUAUUUUUUUUAAUAAUUUAAAAUGAGUUAUUUUGAUCAAAAUAUUUUUUUGACAUUCAACAUAUAAUUUGUGUUAUUUUGGAUCGUGAUAUUUUAAAUAACUAAUUUUCGAAUUAUUUCAAAUAUCUCAUCAAAAUAAUUCGUUUAGUAACCAAAACAAAAUAUGUGGUAUUUCAAGAUGUGGUAUUUCAAAUAUCUCCCCACCAUCUAUGUAUUUAAAAUACAUCACUAUUUUGAAAAUGUGGUAUUUUCGUUACCAAAUAUGACAUUAAAUAACUCAUUAACUAAAUAAGAUAAUUCUUAUACUAUAAUAUUUUUAUACCUCAUAAAUACCAUAUUCUCAAAUAAUCUAUUAUUUUAUUCUAAAAUAUCUCAAGAUGGUUUAGACGACGAUUUCUAGCAAGGAGUAUAAAGAAGGAUAGUAUUAUGGGUGUCGGGCCUUUGGUGUGUGAGAUUAGCUGUAAACGUAUAACGCAGUAAGAGUGUACGGCUGUGGGCGUGCUUGAGUCUAAUGGUUGAUAUGGUGUUGUAAACGCAGUUUGUUGAGAACCUUAUAUAGGUCCAUAAUGGAAUAUACUUUAUAAUGACUGAAGAUUGAUAUUAAGUUUUGAAUUAAGAGAUUAAAUACAUGUAAUUUAAAAUUAUCUUAUUUUAAUCCAAAAUAAGAUUUAUCUAAAAGAAAAGUGAAANNNNNNNNNNNNNNNNNNNNNNNNNNNNNNNNNNUUAUAAAUUACCAAAAAAAAACUGUAAAUGAAUUUAAAUCAAAUAUUCCCAAAAAACCAAUCAUAUAACGCAACCAAUUACACUACAUAAAAAAUAAUUUAAACUCAUCUUAAAUACCACUGAAAUCUCAAAAUCUUUCAAAUCCCACCCAAAUUUAAACUUCGCAAAUUCAACAUGUUUACAUGAAUGCCGAAUAAAAAAAAUUAUAAAGUUUGUCUGGCUAAUCCUUUACAUUUAAUCAAAUACAUAAUUUUAGUAAAAUUUCCUUAAAACAAGCCAUGAAUGUAUGAUUUCUUAGUCUUUUAUAAACACAAUAAUUGGGCCACACAUGUUUCUUCAAAAAGAGUAAAAUGUGACCUACUAUAGUUUUCAGUAACUACACAGCAAUUAUAAUUUUAAUUCUACACCGCGUAUUAUUAUAGUCUAUUUAGGGAGGUAUAUCGUAGCUAAUAGUAGAUCUCUGGUAAAACAACAUAUAAUUGUCCUACAUAGAUGCCAUGUCAAUGCCACCUAUGUAGUGUUAUCUCAAGAGGUUCCAAGCAGCAAUGCUUCAAGCUAUGAUGAGUCGAGAGAUCUAGGAUUAAGACAGAAUCGUGGGCACCACUUUCCGAAAAGACUAUUUUCACCCUAUAAGCCUUGGGUAUCAGGAAACCACUUCCGAGAAUAAGACCGUCUACACUCGAUUUCUUAGACUUUAGAAACUGGAGUCACUUAGAAUUUCGUAGGCUAGAAGAUGUUUCUAUCUGUUUUCCGACAAAACUGUCUUCUUUAUAUAGGCAAGGGGUCCUGGACUGAAGGGGUAUAAAUGUAUGUACCAAGAGGAGUAAUUAUCUCUAUAGAUAGACAAGAAGGUAGUUACCCCUACGGGUUUGGAGGGAAAACAACUCAGUAUUUGAGUUUGAAUCUCACGAAGAGUUGUGAACCAAUCCAUCCUAGGUGAAGGAGUAACCACCCCAACCACCUAGCUCCCCACCUUCACUGGAGCUUAGCUUAGCAUCGUAGCUAGUGACACUAGUAUCCAGCUCAAGUUGAGCUGGAUGAGUUACAGUGUUAGCCCCUAGCAUCACCUAGCACAUAGAGGAGCUGAUAUUAGCUAGUUCCUGCUUGCUUUGAACCAAUGUGAGGUUUUCCGUGAUUUCAUGCAUCCGUACCAACGUCGGCAUAGCACCAAGGUCAAAUUCAUAGUGCUGUCAUCACACCAAGUUCAAACCCUAAAUACAUAUUUCCAACAUGCAGGUGCGCCCAAAUAUUAAAAAAACUCUCAUCCUCAUCCCCACUCCUUCCAUUUAUACCAUGUCAAUACGAUGGAUGUUCCAGACUUCCAUAGUACUCUCACUCUCUUCCCCAAACCCCGACCAGACUUCUAUAGUACUCUCACCCUCUUCCCCAGACCCCACUCCUUCCAUCUCCACUGUCCACCUCUCUUCUUUUCUUUCCCUUCAUUAUAUAAUUAACAUUUUAAUAUUUUAUCCGCAAUCCACUGACCAAACACUACUCUCUAUUUUUUCAAACUCAACACUCUCGAUUUUUCUAUUUUAUCUAUCUGUUUCAAACUCAGUCAUUUGUCUAUUUUUUUCCUUUCUAUGGUGAUAGAAGCAAUGGUCAUCGAUGAAGUAACCCUUGACUUGGGUUAUAGUUCGGCGGUAGCUUCGAGCAUCAUCGUCAAAAGGUAAGCGAACCAAACGUCAGAGACCUCUGUCUCCCCUCCCGUUUCCCGGACGACCGAGGCGAAAGUUAAUCGUAAAUCUCCUAUUGAAGAUUAAUGAAGAAGCGGAAAGGAGUUAGAUGUGGGUCAAAAAUGUUACUCGUUCUAAUAUUUGGGCCCCACCUACACAUGUGGCAUUUCCAUGCAUCCAUGUAGGACAAUUAGCUGAUGUUUUAUCGGAAACCUGUUAUUGGGUACGGUAUGCAUCACUAAAUAGACUAUAGUGGCACGCGAUGCAGAAUCUAAAUAAUAAUAAUAUGAAAUAACUAUAGGCUGUAGCGGUGUGAGCUGCAUUUUAAUCUCUCGAAAAUCAUUAAAAUUCAAGACCCAACCCACCAAAAAUCAAUCUCGUCUCGAAUUUAUUCCUCCGCCUAUUUUCUUCCAUUCUCUAGGCAGCUAUUUUGAGUUUCUUUCAAUCCACGUGAGGGAGUACUUUCACUCACUUUUCUCAGCAAGGACAUAACCUACCCCUAUGGAGUUGUUUGCGGAUAUUCCCUGUUUGGUUUCCUUGGAGACCAAUACUGACUUGUGUUUAGUAGUGGAGGAUUAUGAAAUCAAAAGGGUAAUUUUGCUCAUGGGGAGGGAGUCCAAGUCCCCUGGCCCUGAUAGUUUUUCGGGUAAUUUCUAUUGGAACUAUUGGGAUACGAUUGGGAGGAACGUGUGUAAGGAAGUUAAGGGCUUCUUCGAGUCGGGGUUGAUCCCGACUGGCUGGAACGACACCCAUGUUGCGCUUAUUCCCAAAGUGCCUAGCUCGUCGAACAUCUCGUAAUUCCGGCCGAUUAGCUGUUCUAAUUUCAUUUACAAGGGGAUCUCUAAGAUCAUGGCGUCUAGGCUCAAGAUAUGGAUCUCUAAGCUGGCUUCAAUGGCGGGUGAAAAAUCCAAGAUAACAUUGUUAUUGUGCACGAGGUGCUCCACCAAUUUCUGAUUAGGAAACGAGGGAAGAGAUAUGACAUGAUGAUGAAGCUUGACAGGUGGAAGGCUUACGAUCUCGUUGACUGGGAAUGCUUAUCUACGUUGCUCAACCGAUAUGGUUUCUCCCCCAAAUGGUGGCCAUGGAUUGAUCAAUCCAUCUGUACAAUUAGAUUCUAGAUCCUUUUCAAUGGUCGACCCACAACUCCCUUUACCCCAGCGCGAGGAAUCCGUCAAGGUGAUCGUUUGUCCCCUUUUCCUCUUCAUCUUGAUGUCCAAUCCUCUUUCCUUCUUGAUUGAAAGGAGUAUGGAUCUCAUCACCAUUACUGGGGUUAAACUUAACUGGUUCAGCCCCCGCAUCUCCCACUGCCUCUUCGCGGAUGACACUGUCAUCUUUGGCAAGGCUUCUACGGAAGUGACUCUAAGGAUCAUUGACAUUAUUAACCAGUAUGAGGCUAUGAUGGGUCAGGAGAUCAACAGACAGAAGUCGUCUGUUUUCUUCAACGACAAUGUCCCUGAUUCGAUUAAAAAUGAUAUCCUCCAAGCUUCUAAUUUCGACCUUGUGGGCGGCCAUGAUAGAUGCUUGGGCGUCCCCACCGAGUGGGGCCGCUCAAAGAAUGAGACCUUCUCCUUCCUUCUGGAUCGAAUGGGGAAGCAACGCCAAGGUUGGAAGUUCCUCCUAUUGUCCCACGUCGGGAAAGAAACUCUAUUUAAGUCAGUCACACAAGCAAUUCCCACUUACAUUAUGAGCCUCUUCCUGCACCCUAAGCGUAUGACCAAGAAGAUGGAUGAUAUGGUCCAAAACUUCUUUUGCGCUGGUUUGGUUAAGAAAAGGACAGUAAACUACUGCAAAGGAACCAGGUUGUGUACCCCCAAAUAAGAAAGUGGUCUUGGAUUUUGAGAUUUCAGAUUCUUCAAUAAGGCUCUGCUCGCAAAGCAAGGAUGGAGGUGAUCAAUAGUCCUGAAUGUUUUGUGGGCUAGGGUUCUUAAGGGUUUGUACUUUCCCAACGAAACCUUCCUUACCGAGGGCAAGGGCCGAAGGGCGUCCUGGAUUUGGUCAAGUCUGUGGAAGGCCCGCUCAUCUUUGAACCUUGGUAUCGUCCAUUGGAACGAGGGAGUGGUCUUCUUUCGGAGAGGAUCCUUGGAUCCACUCCCUUCCUCUCUCUCACCUGAUCGGUGUUCCACAUGGAGUGGUGAUGGUGGCGGAUGCUCUCCCCCGACCCGGGAAUGGGACACAACACUCCUAGAGACUGUUUGCCUGCAGACGGAGGUCGCUGCCAUCCAACGCAUUGCCAUCGGUCCGGAAGGUGCGGAAGACUUCUGGGCUUGGAUGCUUAACUCGAACAGGAGGUUAUCGGUUAAGUCAGCCUACCACGCCUCUAGGCGUAAUGAGGUUUCAUUCUAUCAAAAUGUGACGAUGGAGUAGAAGGAGGGAUGGAGCUAGUUGUGGAAGAUUAAAGCGCCUCCGAAAGUGUUGUUCUUCAUUUGUCGAUGUGUGGCUAAUGCCGUGGCAACCAAGCAGAAUCUCCAUGUCAGGAGAUGCUCAACCUCUCCGAUUUGCAGGAUCUGCAAUUCCAGGGAUGAGUCGUCCAUUUUUCAUUAUAAUAUUGCUUGCCCUCAUGUCAUGUCCACCUGGACUACUCUCUUCCUCUCUACUCCUUUUUCGCAGGAAACAUGAUUUGCUGAUUCAUUCUUUGCACUCAAAGGGAGGCCGAGUUCUUUCUUGACCAAAGUCGCAUUUUGUUGUUGGAACAUAUGGAAAGCUCGUAAUGCGUUUAUGUUAAUUGACGUGUGAAUGUCCCUUGUUCGAACAGCAUGCCUCUGUAGCUUGGAAUGGGACGUGUCCUCCUCGCCUACCCACCUUGUCCAUAUCAUCGUUCUGCCUACUCCACACCCUUCUACCACUAGUCCACCUCCGAGCAAUCACCAAGUGGUGAUUCACUGUGACGGAUCAUUCCUACAUGAUUCCCAGGUGGCGGCCUACGGUGUUGUCAUUUUCGACGCCCAAGGAAGAGUUCUUGACGGGAAGGCGGCCACGUUCCUCUGUUCGUCUCCUUUUUCCGUCGAAGCUAAGGCGGUGCUCAUGCCGGCGACGCUUGCAUCCCAUUUCAGCCCCCCAGUGUCUAUCCUCUCUGAUUGUCAGCCCCUUGUGCGCUUCCUCAAUGGCAACAAUGCCUUUUUCAACUAGGAGGGUUCCGCCUUGACGGCUUCUGUUUCGCGGAUUCUCCUUCACUCUCCUCAAAUUUCCGUUAGGUUCAUCCCUCGAAAAGAGAAUUCGGUUGUUAAUUGGGUUGCUUGUAGUGCGGCUGCGGGUUCUCUGCCUGUGAAUUGGGCUUCUAUGUUAAUGGCCCGUAGUGCCUGAUGUGUUACCCCUCACUCCUGUAUCUGUCAGCCUUUGAGAUUAAUGGAAGAUGUUUUCUCUGUAAAAAAAAUAAGCUAUUUCGAGUUUCAAUUCUUGCCAUGAAUACGGAGAUUAAGAAAAUCUAGAGGCUGUGAAACUGAAAUUAUAAGUGACACAAAUGAUGAAUAAAAUAAAGAACACAUGGACAUCAGAAAUGGAGUGUUAACAAAGGAUCAUAGCCCCCAAUUAACGACUCCAUCACACGUUUCGGUCACCUGUCUUCCUCUCAACCACCUUUUUCAUCCCCCUCCUUCCUCUAUUCGUUCAUUUCAAGGCCCCCCCUGCACCUGCACCUGCAAUUUUAAAUUUCCUUCUUUUCUUGACGUUGUCUUUCAAUCCAGCAUAGUAUUUCAAGGUAAACAAGUUUAUCCUGCCUUGUCUUCCCCAAACUUCUAGGGUUUUCUUCCAAACCUCACGACUUAGGCAGGUGUCCUUCUUUCUUUCCCUUUUGUUUUAUGUGUUCGUUUCUUGUUUUCUUGUAAGUUUUUCUGUCUUGCUUUUGGAUCGAGCAAUCGACGGAUUGUUUAAUCUUUCACCUUUAGCUUGAUGAAUUCCUUGUUCGGUUGUUUUUGCUUUUGUAUCGAAAUAUAUCAUGCUGCUAUUCUCCGUUGACUGGGCGGAUUGAAGUUUUGACGUUGUAUCCUUACAAUUUUUUGAAUUUUUAUAUGGUCUGGUGCCCUCAAAGUUCUCAAUUUCUUGAAGUUCGAGUCGGCAUUCAUUGGCUGCUAUGCUCUACAAUUUGUCAAACAUUCAUUAUUACUUGUCUAGCAUAAAUUUUUUCACACGGUCCUGUCUAUUAUCAGCCCAGUUCCUUACCUGCUGCUCCUCCUAUUCCCAUGCCAGACAAGCAUGCUAUAGACUCGACCGAAGUGUUUACUUUACUGCUAUAAAAUGUAUUUGAGAAAUGUACAUGGAUUAGUUAGAAUCUUUUUGAUGAUAUUAGUUAAUUCCUAUGUCAGUUGUUGAUAUAAUGCUAGCAAAGAAGGCCAUGCAUCUCUGUUCAUGGCAGAGAACUAAACUGUUGCGUGCAUCGAUUCCAGUUUCCCUUCUUGAACUUUCUUCAGCAAUGUCGAGUUUGGAGGAGCCGCUUGGCUUUGACAAGUUGCCUAGCAUGAGUACCAUUGACCAGAUUCAGAGGUUUUCAUCUGGUGCUUGCCGGCCCAGUGGUGAUGAUUUGGGAAUGGGACAUUGUUGGAUCGAUGGAAGGAAUUGCAGCUCAUCCAACAGUUGUGAGUAAGUGCAGAUACUCCUGUAUUUUGUUUUAAUUGGGGUGAACUUUAUGGAAUUCCGUUAUAAUUUACCCUCUGUUCCCUUUUUUUUCAUUUGGUUACCCAUUUCGAUACCAUUAUCACGAACUCUAACCAAUGAAGCUGUCCUCUUGGUUUACUUACAUCUAAAACUUAGUCAUUAUCUUACAUACCAAGUAAUGGGGUUUAGAGUUUCAGAUUUCUAAGAAGAGGCAUUUGAGUAUGUAUAAACUAGUGGGCAAGCGAGUGUGAGGCUUGCUUGGUUUUCAAAGCAUUGCGAGGUUGAUGGUUAGCUAACUUCAGUCAAAUGAAAGUUCUUUGAAUCACUACCAUAUAGUUUUUAUAUCUUAUCAUUGAAAGUUCUCAGCAAUUACAAUACUUAAUGGAAGUCUCCAUUGGGGACAGAAAUAACUGAGUUUCAUAAAUCAAUUUCAGUUCCCCUGCACUGGUGUGCUUACUGUCGUCAAUAUUUUAGUGCAUCUGUUUUUGAUCUUGCAAGACGUGCCUUAUAGAAAUGUUUCAUAUAUAUGCAAGCUUUCUAAUUGCUUGUUAUAAACCACAUUGACUUCAGGGAUGACUUUGACUAUACACGAGACACCUUUCCCUGGAGAAGGCAAACAAAAGGUCUGGCAAAUGGAGAAUCCUUCAUGCGAAGGACUAGGAGCACGGGUGGGAAUCAUAUUGCUCAUGGGAGUAUUCGUCAUUCACGAUACUUUUCCAAUUAUCAUAGUGACACCAAGAAUAGUGACAAAGAUAUACGAGGCACAGCAAAUAAGGUGGUUAUAUUGAACUGUAUUUUAGUUGUGCUUGACGGCAUACUAGAUGUCUGAGCUGCUAUUUUGGUCUAGGAAAUUAGUUUCCAGUGGUCUGGUGCUGAGUUCUACUCUGAUAUCAGAUUCUCCCUGUUUGGCCGAAUUAGAUGCCUUCUGAUCUUUAUCACUGUUGUCUUUUGUCUUUCUGAAACCAGUUACUGAAAGGUAUACCGAAAUUCGUGAAGAUAGUAGAAGUUGGACCGAGGGACGGAUUACAAAAUGAGAAACAUAUUGUGCCUACGGAUGUCAAGAUUGAAUUGAUUCGUAGGCUAGUAUCUUCUGGCUUGCCAGUAGUGGAAGCUACUAGUUUUGUAUCACCUAAAUGGGUUCCUCAGGUAAUUCAAUUCAUUCGUUCUUCAGUUUUGUUUUAUGCUGCCAAAUUACACAUAAGCUUGAUAACUGUUUCUUUUUCUCAUAAACGAUUUAGAUAAUUUUGUCUUGUAGAGAUGCAUAUUCUCAACCAUUAUAUUCAUAUUUUCCGCUGGUUGUAAUUCUUUCCAGCUGACUUAUUGUCACUGUUAGGAUUGCAUGGUCAGUAAAACAGUAGAAAAGCUAUUACCAGCUACCAUAUUAUUAAUUUUAAUUUGAUCUAUAAAAGGAGAACAUGAAUUACUAUUGAUGAAUAGUAUUUGGUUCUCUUAUGAGGGCUUUACAUUGAGUUUAUGAAAGCUUUAUUUUGAUCUCACAUAUUAUCAUUUAUGGAUCUUGUGGUACUUUCCAUUCUUCAAUUGACAUGACUUAAAUUGUCUCACGUUUUCAUUUUUCUAAUUACAAAAUUAUUUGUUAUACGUUUGAAGUAGCAAAAAAGAAAAGUUCAUCUAUCUUCACUUAUCCUCUAAAACUUUCCGCAUCAGCGGAUAAUUCUAGUCUUUUUAAAAGGAUAUUGGCUCAAUGUUUCUUCAGCGUCUGAAAAUUGAACUGAUGCACAUAUUUAGGGACCGAUUGAUCUCUCUGCUCUUCUCGAAUGUGUUAUUACAAUUAUUUAUGAUCUGUUGCCAAAUUCCUGGGAUUUGGAGAAAAAUGCAUGCCAAUGCCUUGUCGAAGUCUUUUCUUAGGAGCACAAGUAGGAUUUUAGUUGGUACCAGGGGAAGCAGUGGCAUAUCUGUUAGAAUUUAUAGCUGCUACUUAUUUUGACAUGUGCAACAUUUCCUUUAUGUCCAUAUAUCCGUAUCCUUGUAGAAUAAGAAUUUCUGCAUUGUAAUAUGCUUAUUUUCAUGUAUUCUUGUUGGGCUUGUCUGUAGGAGUAAGGAAAGUUUAGAUAGCUUUUGGUGCUUCUUACUUAUCACUGUGAAUCAAAAGACAUUCCUUGUUGUCUGUUGACUUAAUUGGUACAUUCCUGUGUUGUUCAACCUUCAAAUAGCUUGCAGAUGCAAGAGACGUGAUGAAAGCAGUACAUAGUUUGGAGGGCUCCAGGUUACCUGUUCUGACACCUAACUUAAAGGUGAGUACCUCUUCAAUGGUGCAUAUAGCGUCAUCUUGAUGAACUAUUGUAUAUUCUGAUGGUUGUGUGAAACUUUCAGGGAUUUGAUGCUGCUAUCGCAUCUGGGGCUAAGGAAGUAGCCAUUUUUGCAUCAGCUUCUGAGGCAUUUUCAAAGUCCAAUAUUAACUGUAGCAUUGAAGAAAGCCUUGUUCGUUAUCGCACUGUUACCCUAGCAGCAAAAGAACACUCUAUCCCUGUUCGUGGGUAUGUUUUAUUUUACCGUCCCUUCAGGAUGUUUCAAUCUUCACAUAAUAUGCGGUUCUAUAUAUGUGCUUUUUUUAUAAAGUAUAUUCUAGUUGGAUGAAUAGUCGUUUUUAGGUGUGUUGGCGCAUGGAACAUGUUCAUAUGACUUGACGUCCCAUCUAUACUCCCAUUUUUAUCUUCUAACCAAAGAAACCCAAAACUGACACAUACUUUGGACUAUAGAUAUCGGAGUCUUUAGUUACAAGUUGUUGUCGAGAAUUUAAUUUUUGCUGCAUGUGAGUUAAUCAACCUGUUAUAUACCAGUCUGGACCAGUUUAUAAAGUUGGUUGAUUUUUGUCCCUUUUUAUGAUGACCAUCUUCUGAAAAAGUAACUUGUUUUGAGUUUGUACAGAUAUGUGUCAUGUGUUGUUGGAUGUCCGGAAGAAGGGGCAGUAUGUCCUACCAAAGUAGCCUAUGUAGCAAAAGCGCUUUAUGAGAUGGGUUGCUAUGAAAUUUCUCUGGGAGAUACAGUUGGUGUUGGUACACCUGGUAAUUCCUUAAGGCUCCUCCCCCUUUGUUCAUUCAAACCACCAUUCAUUCUGGUAGAAAUAUUUCAUUUUUUCCUCUUACUUGACAUCAGGAACCGUUGUGCCAAUGCUUGAAGCUGUAUUGGCAGUUGUUCCCGCAGAGAACCUUGCUGUCCACUUCCAUGAUACAUACGGGCAGUCUCUUCCAAAUAUUUUAGCAUCUCUCCAGGUAAAUGAAAGAACUUACUUUCUUUCCACGGAAAAUGCUAACAGGUCAACACCUGUUUUAUGAUGAUGUUUGCCAGCUCACUCGGUAGAAAACUAACCCUUGUUUGUUCCGACAGAUGGGUAUUAGCACGGUGGACUCCUCGAUUGCUGGUUUGGGCGGGUGCCCGUAUGCUAAGGGAGCAUCGGGGAAUGUUGCGACAGAAGAUGUUGUGUACAUGCUUAACGGCCUCGGGGUGAAGACAAAUGUGGAUCUUACGAAGCUCCUCUCAGCGGGGGAGUUCAUAAGCAAGCAUUUAGGCCGGGCACCGGGAUCGAAGGCAGCCAUUGCUUUGAGCCGCGUCAUAGCUGAUGCAUCCAAAAUUUGAUGCUACCACCACCAGGAUAGGAUCGAUCUCAUGUGGUCUUAUGAGAUGUAUAUUUGGCUGUGAGUGAGAAGAAACUCGAUUACGAUUAAUUACGUAAAUCAAAUGGGAAUGAUGAUUAUUCCUGUAAAUGUACCAAUUAAUUACCAUGGAUUGAUUCUGUGACAACAAGCUACGUGUCUUGAUAGCUUCAUUCAAUUCAUACCAUUGAAAGGGGUUGAGGUGUCAUAGUGUGGGCAGGCAUGCGGAAGAGGAGUGGUGCUUUCCAGUUAUUUACACUGCUGCAUGGGAUGGGGUUUUCAGAUUCAAAAAGUUCAUUUGACAACUUUUCCUUCAAUUUACAGAAUGAACCUUUGCACUCAUUUCCCUUCCCUUCAAAGUUUUUAUAAUUACUCUUUUCAAUUCAGACCAAGGGAAGCGAUAUUGGAAACUAUAUCAAGUUAGAACAAUAUCAGAGACUCGUUUGAAGGUGAAGGCACACGAGUGUCAUAAUAAAGAAAGAAACAUGCCUUCACCUCUCAAGGUAUUCCAACUCCAAGGAGAGUCAUGAUCAUCAUUGUAGAAGCAACAAACACACACUCGCAUAACCUGUAUUGAUGGCUUAUUAGUUAUGAUUAGUAGUACUAUUCUUUUCUUUCAUUUUGUUUUGUGUGUGCAUGGCUGUCCCAUCUAUAUCGUCUUCAUUGCUUUGGAGUGUCUUAUGAUAUACACUUCUCCAUUACUUGCUACCAUGCACGAUUUCAUUUGUACUAAGACCCAAAAAAAGCUACAAUAUUCUUUUAUAUAAAAAUACAAAUAAAAUGCUGCUACUUGGAUAUUAAUGUUAUUGUUAGGAAUAUAUUAGUUAUGGUAUAUGAAUGUUCGAGACACAUUACCAUUAUAUGUCUAUUACCAUUAUAUGUUUGAGACACAUUAAUAAGAAACCUUUUCUCCUUCUACUCUUAUGUUGUCUUCUCUUUACUUAGUUUUUUAAUACGUUAUCAACACACGUUAUCAGCAUGAUAAUUUUUUGGAAAUGGAUGAAGGCUACUCUAUAUAUCCUGAUGUUUAUAUUUUUCGGUUUUUCUUACUAUUGAUUUUCUAUUUGGGUUUUAAAAACUAUAUAUCCUUUAGCUAUCUACUGAAGUUAUUUUAUCCGGCUAGAGCUUUUGCAUCUUUUCAAUCUUCAUUCGCUCUUCCGAUCUCAUGGGGUAUUAUUUGGCACUACCAAUGGUUAUAUUCAUGAUUUCUUUCUUUCUUUUUACUUUCAUGUGCUCGCAUGAAUACCCCUAACGUUAUAUAUACAUGAAAAGCAAGGUUUAAUUUAAAAAUAACAUUUCGGUAGAAACAUGUACCCGGUACAAAUACUAGAUUGCGAGUAUUAUUGGAUGUUUUUGAAAUAAUAUUGUUUUAACACCUACAUAAGUAAGUAAAUGCAAAUCGAUCACCCAACAAUUAUUGUUGAUUUAAAAAAGUAAAACCAUUAACCACAGUCUAACUCUAUUUUCUAUAUAUCAUUUUAUUUUUAAUAUUUUUCUUUAAUCUAUCUUCUUAUUACUUUCAUUAUUCAAGUCAAAACUCAUUCCACCACAGAAAAAUACAAAAAAAUACAAAUACCAUCGUAAUUUCAAAAACAAAAACCUCUACCAUUACAAUCUUUACAUUCUUUUUUACAGAAAAUGUAAUAGAUAUUUGAAGAGUGAUGAUCAGAGUAGAUUUCAGAGUGAUGAUCAGAGUAGUUUUCUUGGCCGCCCUAGAAAAUUGACGAGGUCAAAUGGCAUGGCUCCAUCCUCUCCUCUUUGAAUAUUGGGGUUUUAUUGUAACUUGCACCCUCGCCAUUGAAUGGUAAUUAGAAAGUCAUAUUGUUAAUUAGGAACUCCGUCAUUGUUACAUAAAAUGAAACCUAGCUUCAGGGUGUUCAGUUAAUUAUAACUAGUUAUAAAUAAAUGGAGAAUCACGAUCGGGUCAAAAGUCAACAAAACUGAAAUCACUUUUGUUUACGACACCGAUGAUUUCAUCAACUUUGAUCUGAAAGUUGGGAUCCUUCACGGUGUUCCCGGGACCGGAAUGUGGGAGAGCGUUGACCUUUAUCCGGUGGCGGUUGACGGGUGGAACGGGAUGGACACUAGUAAGCUUGCAGUGAUUAAUAAUGCUGGGCAUGCUUUCAACGUUGAGAAACCCAACGAGUUCCUCAAGCUCUUCCUCGUUGAUUCCAAGUUCCCUUUGGAUACUAGUCUGAAUCCCGAUUCAACCUCUUAAUUAAGCAUACUGCAGAUUGGAUUGCCUUACUUGUCACACAACUUGUUAAUAUCUCUCACGCCUGUUCAUCCUCAGCUUACAUUUAUAUGGAAGAUCGGGCAAACUUGGAUGUGCAGUAGGGAUGAAUUAGAUUCGGAAAGUAUAUUGGACUUAAUUCGGAAAAAAAAAUAUAUAAUUGAUGUGAAAAAAUGUUAAAUCAAAUUAACAAAAAUUUAAAACAUUAUCAUUCUUUAUUACGAUAUUUAUGAGGGUUGAGCCCGAGUUUGAGGCAGACUGUGAGAAUCUGACUCUUGAUAAUCUACCUUCUCUCGGCGGCGACAACACUGUUGUGAUUUUUGGCUGGAGAUCUAAGAAGGAAUUAAGGUUAGGGAUGAAUAUUGAAAUAUUGAUUACUUUGAAAUAUUCUGAUCACCCAAAACAUUUUCUGUAAAAAAAAAUGAACAGAUUGUAAUAGGAAAGAUUUUUGUUUUUGAAAUUAAGAUGAAGCUUGUUUUUUCCAUUAUUAAUGGUGGAAUGUGUUUUGACGUGAAUGAUGAUUAAAAAAAGAUAAGUUAAAAGGAAAUUAAAAAAUAAAAUGAAAUAUGGUUAGAUUUUGGUUAACAAUUUUAUUUUUUAAAAUCAACAAUACAUAUUGGGUGAUUCAUUUGCAUUCUCGCUUACAUAUUUAGAUGCUAAAACAAUAUUAUUUAAAACAAAAACAAAAACAAAAGCACCCAAUAAUAUUCUGCCAUAUAACGUUUGUACCGGGGGCCUGUUUCCACCAAAGUGUCCGCCUUUAUUUGUAGACUUAUGAAAAAAUGCCGAUUUGAUUUUGUGUAUUCGUGGCUUCAUGUAGUCCUUGGUGUCAUUUGAUUAUUCUCCCCUAUAUUUGCUUAGGGUUUAUGAUUUAGGUAUCUUUGAUGAAGAUGUGUACUUGUCCAGCUUCACUAUGUAUAUUUUUCAUUAUUUGGUAAUACCUCCAAUUAAUUACACAAUAGUUGCCGUCAUAUGUUUCUAUGACUAUUGAGUAUUGAUUCCAUUUAUGCCUUAAAAUUGAUUAUUUCAUUAUUGUGUGUUGUUUUCUAUGCUUUUAUAUAAGUACUAUUUUUAUUAGCAUUUUGAUAUUUAUGUGCCUUUAUUAUUUGGUUUAUAAUGAGUUUAAUUCACUUUAUAAGUUUUAUAAAAGUACCUAUUUAUGAGUAUUGGAUGACGCAAUCUAAAUAAUCAAAGGUGAUAUGAAAUAUCUCAUCAAAACAAAGUCAUAAUUUUUAUAUCAUUCUCUAUCACCUCCAUGAAUGGUUGAGACAAUGAGUAUGAACUCAUAUAUCUUGUGACAUAACAUCAAAGUCAUGUAUGGCCACCACAGGUGGCUAUUUUUAUAAAAGUACGAUCCGAUGGAAGGAACCAAGAGAUACAUAUUCUCAUAAAAGGAUCGAAUAUCUUAUAUGUCUCAAAUGACGAAGACUUAAUGAGACACAACAUCACUUCAUAAAGUGGACGAUUAUAAUCAUAUGUCCCCAAAGUGGCAAAUACAUCAUAUAUUCUCACUAGUAUACUAUUGUGGAGGAUGAAAACCUAUUGUGUUUUGGUCGUGAGAACAAAAUUACAUAUUAUCCCAUGAAAAAGUGUUGUGAAUUGAUGUUGAAAAAUUCCAAUCACAUGAAUGUUACCAUCAAUUUUAUUUUGAUGAUCAUAUCUAAAUGAUAUUUUAGUCCUCAAAAUGAAUGUGCAAAGCCUCAUAUGUUACAUUAUCUUGAAGCGAAUGUAACAAUAUAAGAUCAGUAUUCCUAUAAGGAACCUUUUAUGUUGAUGGGUAUAGCAAUAGUGGUUGUAUGUUUAUAGAUUGUGUUUGAAUUAUUAAUCUCUCCGAUUGUGUUAGAAUUAUUAAUCUCUCAAUUGGUGACAUGGAUGAUUGAGAAAUAUCUUUAUCUAUCAUUUAAACCAUGCACCAUUCUCAUGACAAACAUGAGUAUCUCUAUGAUGAGAAUCAACAUAAUAUAUACUUCGAUGAUAUAUAAAUCUCAUCGAUAUUGCAUCACAUAUUGAGUAGUACAAAAUUAAUCUUAAACUAUAUAAGAGUUUUUGUGUUGUUCAUCAAAUGAACAAGAUCCUUAUUCCAAUAAAGUGAUGAUCACAAGGGAUGAAAAAUAAUGUGGUCUAUGACCAUCAAAUCAUUUGAUCAAUAAUUCUAUCAUCCAAUAAGUGUACUAUGCACAAAUUUGCAUAAUAUUAUAAAUAUGAUGGGAUAUACACAUCCGAAUUGCUAGCUUAAUCAUUAUGCCAAGAAAUUAUUAUAAAUAUCUCCAUUCUAUUUGGUUUUUGGGUCAAAACGACAUAUUGCCCAUAUAUGCAUAUAUGGAUAUACACAUCUGAAUUGCUCCACCACAACCAAUGAUGGGCUCUCAACAUAGAUUGAGAAAUUACGGUGGGGGGGGAGGUGUUAUGAAUGAAAAAUUUAAAUAAAUNNNNNNNNNNNNNNNNNNNNNNNNNNNNNNNNNNNNNNNNNNNNNNNNNNNNNNNNNNNNNNNNNNNNNNNNNNNNNNNNNNNNNNNNNNNNNNNNNNNNNNNNNNNNNNNNNNNNNNNNNNNNNNNNNNNNNNNNNNNNNNNNNNNNNNNNNNNNNNNNNNNNNNNNNNNNNNNNNNNNNNGCCAGACACUUCACAAACCAAAAUUGAGUAAAGCUCUCAUGUGCCAACUCGAAAAGCUCCAACAAAAUAAUGCUGAUAUUAGGCAAUCUGACAUCACAAAUGAGUCUAAACCCAACAUACAGCGUGGUAGAUCACUCGGUUCCAAAGCUAAAAUCUUUGGUUUGAGGCAAAAUCAUAUUCCCAAAAAAAAUGAUCACUCGGUUCCAAAGCUAAAAUCUUUGGUUUGAGGCAAAAUCAUAUUCCCAAAAAAAAUGAUCACUCGGUUCCAAAGCUAAAAUCUUUGGUUUGAGGCAAAAUCAUAUUCCCAAAAAAAAUGAAAAGUUUUAAACAUAAAGUCUUUAUAUAUUGAGAUGUAAACCAAAUGAGACAUAUAUUUAUCUCAUUAUAAUAAACUUAUAAUAUAUUACUUAUGAGAAAAUAUAUUCUCUUGUGGUGGAUGCAACUAUACUUUUCAUUAUUUGAUUACUCUGGUAAUUUGUGAAGGGAUAGAGUUUGCAAAUAAUAUAUGUCAUUGCAACAUAUAUGUAUGUUUUGCACAAUACGAAUACACAUGUGUAUAUAAAAUUUCCGUGACAAUUUAUGUUGCUACAAGCAAACAAUUCAAAUUGAUGUGAAUAAAUUAUAUCCAAUUGACGUCAUAUGAAUUGGAUGAUUAAGAGAAGUGGUCCAUUUAGCAUAUCAUAUAUUUUUCUAUGCAUACAAUUCGAUUACUUUUCCUAUGUUGAGUUAAAUUUUGGAUGAUGAAACAUCAUCUUUGAAAUAUUUUAUUGUUUCAUACCAAUUUCUUGAUUUUAUUUUGUAUUUUAAAUGCAUUUAUUUUAUUUUUUAGAUUUUAAAUGUCUACAUCAUCAUCUUUGGUUUCAUAGAUGAUGUUGUUACCGGUUUUCGUCCAGGCUUGGGACCUAUUUUAUGGUCCGAUAGAUGGUUAAGGCAGAUCGAGAAAGUGGAGCUCCAGUAUUUGAAAUAGGGAUAAGGAUGAUAGAAUUAGACCCGAGAAUUUAAGUAAAAUUUUGGCUGAAUUAGGGAGGAGUUUGAUCGACUAGGCGAUUUAUCCAGUUUGAAUUCAUCGUUGGAGUUUAGUCCACUUUAGGCAAAUCGACGAAAUUUUCGAGCAUAAUAUCAAGUUUAAUUAGCCUAAUCCCCUAGACCGCUCAUAAGUGCCUAAGGAGAAAAGUUUUGAUUUAAUUGAGAUCUCAUUAAGCUAAUUUUCUGGCAUAUUUUGGUUAAAUCGGUUCGAUUUAGGUGUCAUUGGAUAUAAAAAGACAGUUUUGCCCCUGAGCAUUUAUGAGGUAGGGGGAGUGUUAUGAAUCUAUUAGUUAUGGUAUAUGAAUGUUCAUUGUAACUCCCACCUAUACAUUGAUCAUGUGAAUCUAUGUCCUCCAUUACACUCAUUUAUUUGUAUUAAUCUUAGAAUGUAUAGGUUAUGUAUCAUGAGCCUACCAAUAGUGUUCACCAUUGUAUGUUUGAGACACCUCAAUAAGAAACUUUUUCUCCCUCUGCUCUUAUGUUGUCUUCUCUUAGUUUUUUAAUAGUUACUUCAAAAUUUUAUUUUCUAUACCUUCGAACUUAUUUUAUUCUAUUUUUUUAUUAAAAAAAUCACCAACUCUCCAACGUAACCAACAGGUCGCGACACUCUCCUUUGUUGAACCACCAAUAGCGGCGAUGUCGCUAAUCUAGAUCGUAGAGGAACCCCCUCGCCUGGUAGUACGAGAUGUGCAUCAUUGGAUCUUUUUUUACAAAAAGGGAUGACAAUCUGCAAUCAGUCGGUUGGACGUUGCCAACCGUGCGACAACUAGGUCAUGGCGUUGAAAUGGAUGUUAUGGACCCUCUUCCGCUUCAAGCAUCACGUCAACGUCGAGCAUGUGAUGGACGGUGGACCAUGGAGCAUGGAUCAGCAGUUGAUGCUCACCCACGAACUCCAACACUGUGAGAUCCCCCAACAGGUAUCCAACAAAACGACGACCUUUUGGGUUCAGUCCACCAUUUACCUUUUGGGUACUUUUCAAAAGCUGUUGGGGAAGCAAUCAGGGGCAAAUUUAUGGAAAAAUUUGAGAGUACCAUUUGGAAUUUGCUAUUCCAACACUAGAUAUUAGAGAUUAAUAUUGAUUAUGGUAUAUUUUUAGAAAAAUAGAGUUGAAAUUCGCAUUGAUUGAGAAAGAUUUAAGUUGAUUGGGGAAGAGUUAAUAUUGUAGAGGUUUGAAUUUAUGGGAAGUUAGAAAAUUUUGGGAAGAGGGAGAGAAGUUGCCGGCGUUUAAUGUUGGCCGAUUGUUUUUUUUUAAUGUAUAAGAUGUAAUGGGUUUUUAGGCUCAAUUGAUUGAGGAGCAGCAAUACAUCUUCCGGCAGGUAAGAGAUAGUGUAUAUUUUAUAUAUAUAUAUAUAAUACAUCUAAUGGCUUAUGCAUAUUGUGAGGCCCCAAAUAUUUGAGGCCUUGUGCGGUAGGUCUGACCAACACAAAAUCUGGGUCGGGCCUGAAAAUAUAUAUUACAUAGGUGUUUAUUUCGUAAAGUAUAUUGAAUUUGAUUUCGAAAAAACACACAACUCUAUCACCAACGUAGCUCCGCUAAAAAAAACUAGGUUGAAUACUAAGAUUCGGAACACCCAAAGAAAUAGAUAUUGGCGCAUUAUUAAUUCUCGGAAAGUCACCCCCGAUGUCGACGUUAGAACGUGGAUGGAAACUAGUUAAUUAAAAUGACUUGGGAAUUGGGGAAACGUGAAUUCAAAGGCCCAAAGAACAUGGAGGAUGGAAGAAGGUCUGUGUAUGUGUUUUGGGUUUGAUCGAGGCCAUGAUGUUUUGAUUAAUAUCUACAGUAUAGAUUCCAGUGGGCAACACAACAAGCUAAGAAGAAACCUUCUACUCAAAUAUAAAACACUAAUAGCUAGCUAGUGAUGCUAUGUAAUCCGGGAAAACCGAUUAUGUCCCGUAAUUGUACCAAGUACAUCCAAAACGCAUUCAAUGUUCAUCUCCUACAAGUUAUAUUAAAUAUAACGAUGCCAGUCACUUAGCUAGCUUGCAUUUAUUUAAAUAAUAGAGACCCGGGAGUAUUGACUUGAUUCUCGGGUGUUAGGUAUGGGUUUAUAUUUAAAUUUAUUUUUAAGAAAAAAAGAAGUGAGAUCCUACAUGAGUUUGUGACGAAAGCAAGGUGUGAAGCAUUCAUAUAUACUAGGGGUACUUCCAGGAACUGCGCAUAUGAACUAGAACUAGACUAGAAACUAGAAGGUUUUAGAAUAUAUACAUAAUAUAGUUAUAACUUGUAUUAUCAUGGAAAUCUAGGGGUGUAGAUGCGAAAUAACAAGGAUUACCAUCAAGGGAAGAGAGUAGGUAGCUUAGCUGGGUGGAUUUGAUUUGGCAUUGAAUGCUAUGAAUGAAUUGGUGGGUUAGCAUUUAUGAGCUAAUGUCCAACCACAACAUGACAUUCCUUCUUCCCUACCCGAUGACCACUAAUUGUGCAAUGCAUUUUUUCACUCCAUACCUUCUCAUUUUCACACAACAACAACAACAACAACAACGACAACAAACAACAACAACAACAACAACAACAACAACAACAACAACAACAACAAUUAUUAAGGUUGAACUCUAAUCUCAAUACGAACGAUAAAGCAACUACCUAAGUUGGGAAAGAACGCUUUCACAAAUAACCUCUAUCGCUUCUAAUAAUACCCCAGCUGCACCAUCUCCUGACCCAUUAAUAUUAGUGCUAAUAUCCAAUCUCAAAGAAAAGGUCAGAGCAUCAUCAUUGCCUUUCUUUUCAAUUGUCAAAUAAGACCGAUGACGUAUCAUUCUAUUUAUAAUUACUAGAGAUAUAUGUAUUUGUUGAGUUAUAAAUUUAAUUUUUUCAUAUAAAUAAAAUUUUAUUAGUUAUAUAUUGAACCAUGUUUGUCAAAAAAGACAUUUAUGCAGUUAGCAAUAUAGUGUAAAUAAAAUAGAGGUGACUUAAAAUUGCUGAAUUAUAGAUUAGUUGUUAAAUUGUUUAUAUUGGAAAGAUCAUAUUAAAAAUUACUAAAUAAUUUCUAAAAUUGCUAAUAUCCAUUCAUAAUCCUUAAAAUCAGGAAUAAUAUAUGUUUUUGACUAACUAGUAAUCUAGACACGUGAAGGCAACAACGUUGGACAAAGUAGUGAACCCCUCCCCUAACCCGCCAAUUCCUUUUUAAUACAAAAAUGAAGGUAGAGUGAUCCACUGCAUGCUAGGUAUUUUAGUCGGGAGACCAGGUUAAAUUAAUGACCUCACAUGGAAAUGGAGUACUUCCUUUUUUAAAAAAAAAUAGACGUUGGAAACUUCCAAAGAUUCUCAUCGGAGCAGAAAAUCAUUAAUGUGUUGUAAUUCCCCACGCUUUAAUUAAUUAUAUAGUAAUAUAUAUAUAGAUUUCCCAUGCAACAGUUAACAUUAAUAAGAAACUUGUUUUGCUUUUUUGCUUGUAUUUCAUCAAAUUGAUGACAAACAUCUUCAGCCCCGAUAUCUAUUGAUAUUUCCAAAGCCUUUUUUUAUUAUUAUAAUUCUCGAUAUCAAAAUAGCAAGCAAAUAUAAUCUAAAAAUCGAUCUAAGUUAUGAGAUCGGUUUCAAUUAAAGAGCAUUUCACGUGCCAUUGAGUGAGCAGCUACAUUAGUAGACCGUCGAGCAACUUGCACCUGGAGCCGAUGACCAAGUAGUCAAAGAGGCUAGGACCUCUGAUGAUGGCAUAGCCAGCUUCAUAAAGCGUGCUUCGGUGAGCGAAUCGAGAGAGACCCAACUCAGCAUUGCCAUUCACGUAGCUAGAAAACACCAAUCACAAACCUCAGUCGGGAGCUCCAGAACAUAGGGGUCAAGGAGGCAUGAAUAUUUUCGUUCCAUCACCUGCGAGAACAUGUUGAAGGGAACAAGCUUGUACGGGAGAACCCGAUGAGGCACAAGACCGAUAAAUUCACUUAAUAGGAGAGAAUCCACUAAAUUUCCUUGCAGAAUGUAACUAAAUUCGAACCUUAAAUUUCCAAAUUAUCAAUCACAUGACUCUAUCAAAUGAACUACGCCACAUGGGCCUAUUUUACAAAGCUUUAAGUGAUUGCUUUCUGGCAGAGUGGACGUACAAUAACAUGUUCAUCCUUGUAAUAGUAACUGUUUCCCCACCUGGUCCAUAUACUUUUCUAUGUUCUCUAGAUUUAACAAAUUUGAGGUUUGAAUAACUGAAAGUGGAAGCUAUGGAUAUUACCCUUCACUCACUCAUGCAGUUUUUUUAGAUUUUCUUUUGCUGGGCUAAUUGGUUUACCUUUGGUUCAUAAUAUUAUGGGUACUUUUUGUUCGGUGGAUGUACUACAAUUCCAACUGGCAAAGGUGGUACUCUCAUCUCGCCAUAACUUCUCCACUGAGUCCAAUGUGGUGCAUUUACUCACCUAUCUAUAAUAAUGUACAAACGUACGUUCAAAAAUGAAGCAACAACAUAACACCCACAUUUAAUUCCUACGUUAUUAAUUAUAGGAAUAUCGCUCAUCGCAUUCGUAUAUACAAUGAUUACCGUUACACUUACAGUAACUCGUUACAAACUGUAAUCCAAUCUCACACUAUUAGUUUGGUGUCGGAUCUUGUAAUAGCAAUUGAGUUUUACUCACAAGUACGUACUUUAAUGGUGACCAAUGGUAUCAAGAGUCGGCUAAUCGUGGACCAGUUGAGGGUGGAAAUUCAUAUAAGAUUUAACUGUUCGAAAAUUUAUCAUUCAAGAUUGACUACGCAUAACUGCCUAGUCAUAAUGGGCCCCAACGAUACAUGAGUUGAUCAGUGGAACUCUAUAGCGACCAAGCCCAUAAGGUUAGCAAACUUAGCUUGCUUAUCGCAACUAGGCUGUCGCCUCGGACAUGUGUCGCUUCAUCUCAUUGAUUGUCUCGGUUCGAUGGUCAAGAUUGUCUUGAUGAUAUCGACAACUAAGAUAAAACUACACUGUUUAACGACAAACUAUAUAAAUAAUGCCUUACUACCAAGGCGAAAAACAGACUAUCAUAAUCACUGAGGAAACAUUCCCCUCAAUACGUAUUUCUUGUUCAUUUCCUCUCCUGCCUACUCUCGAACCACCCGAAAACUCGCUAACACACAUCCUAUUUCAUACAUGUGUAGGACUACAACAAUCACAUACCGAAUGUCACUAUUGUCCACUCUAGGGAGCCGAACAAUUAAUAACUAUUAAGUCUGGACUUAAAAUCAGAGGGUCAAUAUUCUAAUUUCAUGGCCGACCUCUCUUUCUAUAUUAUAUGAUAUGAUUACUCAGAUAUGACUCUCAAGUAAUGUUAGCUUUUCUUUAUAUGAUUCCACAAAAAGUGAAUUGAGGACAACAUCAUGGUUUUGUUUCUAAGAAAAACUACAAAUUCUCCUCAUAAUCACCCCUCUCUAUUGCCCCCCACCAAUUCGAUCGGUCAGCUCCAACCUAUUUGACCCAUUUUCUCCUCAUUGAUUACCAAUUCAUCAUUAAAAAUAAAAGUAAACCGCUGAGAAGAACAACGUAACUGGCUACAUUUAUAUUCUUUAUGUGAGCUAUUUGAGAGGAAUUUUUAUAUUAUCUAAUUUCUAAAAAUUAUUUAGAAAAAUCAAUAAUAUAAAAAAUAGUAUUUUCGGCACCGACUGACGAGUAUAUUACCUUUGAUCAACAGUGUUUAAUUUUUUUUGUCUAAUUAACAAAAUUCAUGUAUGAUUAGACUCGUAAAAAAUAUUUAUUCACCGGUUUGGAUCUACAUUUCAUAAUGUUAGAUAUAACUACCACAUUAUUUUCUACUUAGACAUACAUAUUUGUCUGUCCAUUUCAUCCAACUUUUGUUAUUCACAAGAUGAUCUUCUUUGUUAUUCACACAAAAUCUUUGCAAGAAACAUUACUAGAAAUAAAAUGUUUGGUCUCUGUUGUUGGUCUUUUGGGGCAUCUAUUGGCAUAAACUAAUCCAAUGCAUGUUGAAAGAAUUUAAGAACGGUCGGGGUGGAGUUUAUUGCAUGUUUCAUUUAAGGUAUGUGUUUGGCGCCUGAGGAUUUUGCAUACUAAUAGUAAUCAUAAUUAAUUGUAGUCUAACUCAAAAUUUGAAAAUAACUUGAUAUGUUUGCUAACAUGCUGUAGUGAUGUUCAACAAUCCACAUAUACAAAAGUUUGAAAUCUGAAUCCAAAUCUGAACGAUUUAAUUCACUUAUCAAUCACAAACCCUAAUUGUGAAUCUGAGUUAGAUCGCAGCGGAAAUCGAACAAAAUCUUAAAGGAAGAACAUACGGGAUUGUUCACGCUGUUCACGCCAUAAAGACCCUAAUCAGCGGAGUCUCGGGAAGGGGAGACUAAACCCAUAAUUAGCACUAGAUCCUCAAGGAGAGUCGAGAGUACAAGUUAUAACGAACAACCUAAAAGCGUUACAGGCAACACAAGAAGAGAAGAACAGCAAGAACAGAGAAUUAAAAACAAGAGGGCUUCACAAGAAAUAUAACCUUGUGACUUGAAACAACAAUAGAAGCUUCAAGGCUAAUCCAACAGAGCAAUCGCCAGAUGAGCGAAACCCUAGUUCUUCACGGCGCUCUCAAUCUUAAUUGAUUUGGAACCUGAUGCUUCUCUCUCUUACUUUGGUAUUACAGAUAGGAUGGCUUAUAUAUUAAGCUGAUCCGGCUUCAACACAUCAUUUUAUUAGUGCCUAGAACCGGGUGGCCUCAGUCUGAUUCAACCGAGAGUCAACCGGUAAACCUUGUGAUUUGGGUUGGACCUGAGUCAAAUAGCAACAAAAUCCAACGACAUAACAAAAUAAGAGAACAAUUUAACUAACAAUCUAUAAAUGAGAACAAUCUAACUAACAAAUCUAGAAACAACAACAACUUCAAGUAGCACCAGCAGCAUCAGCAUCAUCAAGUAGCGCCAGCAACAUCAACAUCAAGUAGCAGCAGCAACAUCAAGUAGCAGUAGCAGCAGCAGCAAGCAGCAACAACAACAACAUAACAGUAGCAGUAGUAGCAGCAGCAGCAGCAAGUACCAACAACAAAAUCUGAAGUGAUUUAACAAUAAAAAUAAAGGUAAGCAAUUCAAUUUAAAUAACAAAUCGGAUAAAGUUAGUACAAAAGAAAGCACCAGAUUUUCAGAAAGUACCUUUCUUGAUCUCAUCUUGAACCCAACUCCUCAAGCACAUUAUACACUCCAUCGUAGUGUAGUGAAGUCUACUUUGAUGUGGAUCAAACAAUCUAUCGCCAGCGUUAAAGGCUGCUUCGGAGGCAACAGAAGUAACCGGUAUAGCUAGCAAAUCUAUGGCAAUUGCUUGCAAAGUUGGAAAUUUCACACGAUUAUCUGCCCACCAUUUGAGAAGAGGUGAUUUAGGUGAUCACCGAAUGAUGUCCUCAUUAAGAUAAUUAUCCAACUCAGUUUGAUUAAAAACCGUCUGUGCCUUCUUUCUUUGACUUAAUAGAUUUCAAAAUCCAUAUCUUUAGUCGAGGAGUUUUGAGUAACUUCAUCCAAGGGAUGAACAUUGUUAGCACCAAUUUUCGCCUGAUGCUCACGAACCAUGUCGAUAAUCAAUUGCUUUAUCUUCUCAAGAAAAAUAGUACAAGAAGAGUUGGACAAUUUGACCUUUUCUCAUGAAAUUCAACACUGGCAGCUUAUAUCGAGGAUAAAAAACAAUAGAAAUCGCCAAAACCUCAUGAAUUUCACUCCAAUAUUUAGCAAACUCCAAUCACAUCUUCUCAGCCAUAUUUUGAAUGACAAGGUUAGGAUCAAGAAGCCAUUCUUAGAUCUUCACAUUAAGCUCACAAAUCUUGGAAAGAAGAGGUUGGUUGUAGGAUAGCUUAGACCAGAAAACAAUAUCACAAUAUCAAGAUGACAUCAAAGAUCUCCAACUUGUCAAAAACAAGACUAGCAAACUCCCAAUCUGUCUCAUUCGUACACAAUGUGAAAUUAAAGUCUUGUUGUUUCAGCCUAUAUAACAAGUCCUUGUAAGAUAUUACAACCUUCAACAUCGAGUAGGUGAAGUUCCACCUAGUGGGAACAUCUUGGACUAGUUGUUUGUCAGAAGGAAUAUGAAGUUGCUUCACAGCUUCUUCGAACAACUCCAAUCUCUUAGGCGUUGUCGUCAAAUAUGUGACACUAUCUCUAAUCUUCUUGAUACCACCUUUCAAUAUAUCCAACCCAUCCUUAACACUCAGAUUUAGUACAUGAGCUACACACCGCAUGUGCAAAAAACACCUUCUUUGAUAAGGAAGGAUGGUACCAAUUUAUUCUUCAAUAUCUCCAUCAUCUUGUCGUUAGUAUUGCAAUUAUCAAGAGUGAUGGUAGAUACCGUAGCAUCAAUAUUCCAAUCCAUCAUACUUUCAUGAAGUAUUGCUCCUAGUCUAUCAGCAGUGUGAGGUGCUGGCACAUACAUGAACCUCAACAUGUGGGUAUGAAGAUGCCACUCAUUUUCAACAUAGCGUGUCAUCACUACCAUAUACCCCUUCUCCUGAUUAGAGGUCGUCCGCAUAUCGGUAGUGGUUGCAACCCUCCCAUUAUUACCAUAGAUGAGGCUCUAAAUCUUCUAUUUCUUACGCUAGUAAGCGCUGAGAAUAUCCUUCUUAAUUGUAUUCCGAGACAGAACAUGAUAGACAGGCUGCAGAGAAGUGAUGAACCUUUUGAAAUACAGAUGGUCCACAAUAGACAACGGAUACUCAUGCAUUACUAUGGCGAAGCCUAACACUUUCCUAGACACUUCCGCAUUGAAGGUGGUAGGAACGAGUUCCUUCUUGAAAUUAGACAAGUAAGGGUCGAGUGUUUUUUGUUUUCUAUCAUGAAGCUAUCUUUGAAUGCAAGCUAGUUUAUGAAUCUUCAAAUGAGAAGUUCCAUUGUUUGAAUCCCCACCCAGCAGCUUCCGGAAGUGCUUACAUCUUGCCUUGAUGAAUCCCCUAAUUCGAGUUUUGUAGAAAUGAGCCCAAACAUCACUCAUAAGCUUACUUAUAUCUAAUAAUUCUUUAGUAGGCAUAGAAUUAGGUUGAGAAGCUACUGCACCUGUAAUUAAAAGAGCCUCCAGUAUCUGCAUUCGUGACAACAAAAGAGUCUCAAUAGCAAUUACUGGCACAAUUCCGACUGUUGCACUCAAAGGUGGUGUAUCCAAACCACCAUUAUUAGCUAGGGAUUGAGAGGGAACAUGAUUAUCCAUUAUUAUGUAAAUUUUGUUCCAACACAAUUUGAAAUGUAAAGAAGCAAAUUGAGAAAGACAUUAUAGAAGCAGUUUGUAUACCAGUAUAAGUAGUUAAGAAGCAGAUUACUAAAGUGUCGAGGAGUUAGUUAAGGAAUCAUUACUAUUCAAAUAAGAUUUGUUAUUUUAAAUUAAAGGAAGCAUAUUACAAACUUGAAGAUGAAUUCUAAUAGGAAUAAAAGCAGUUUAGCAUUGUAAUCUACUAAUCUUCUAAUCUUAGUUAAGCAACUAAAGGUGAACUCAGUUUGACAUAAGUAGUACACAUUUGGCAUUGGAUUCAUACCAGUGAUCUUUCUAAUCAUAGUUUGGCAAACAAAGAUAGCAAGUUGAUCAUGCACCAUCUCUGAAAAGCAUAAAAUGCAAACUUACAUGUAUGAAGUUUUAGUAAGUUUACCAGAAUAUAGGAAAUAUAAAACUACCCAGGUUCGAGAAGAUAAGAACAUGGAUUGAGUCAAAUUCAGCAACUUUUACAAUCACCUAUAUGGCAGUACAAAUUAAGGAUCAAAAUUUAUAAAAUACCGUACACAUCAAACAUAUGAACUUAAAAAUUAAAACUGAUAACAAUCAUAAAAAUAAACUACUACUCACUAAUAUAUGAAAAAAGAUUAAAGAUUGAGGAUACCUUAAACUUAGGUCUUGACUUUUGAUACUCCUUGAAAUUUGAAAUAUAGGAAUUCUACACUCGAUAGAAUCGCUCGCUGGUGCAAAGUAGCGCAGAAAACGAAGAACAUAAUUGGUGGUGCAAAGAAGGGAAUGGAGCAAGAUAUGCAUUUAUAGCUGAACCUCUUAGAUAGAGAAUCCAUAGAAUCGAUUCUCUAUUUAAGAAACCCUAAUUCUAUGAUUCUAUCGAUAAGGAAGGACUUAACCAUUAUUUUGGUUAGUAUGGUAGAUAAGCAGCAAGUUUGCAAGGGGAAGUGGGAAGAUAUCAAGAUAAUGAUCAAGGAAAUUUCGGUAGCACAUUUGUCGCCGACGAGGAUAUCUGAGAAUCAAAAGAAUUUUGAAAGGGGGGAAUUUGAUCUUGAUUCACACACGAUGCUACCUCUCAUCUGAACAGUGAAAAUUCCAGAAGUCUACUUGCAACUAGGAUAAAACGACAUAGUUUUAUGAUAUUUGGCCGGAUCAGGGAUUUACCCCAGCGCGGAUAGUAGAGAUACCGGCCCCGAUCCAUUGAAGUACAAAAGAAAGUCGGUUUUCCCCGGAUCCGACCCGAGUCGGGUCAGAGCGGAUUUUACCCACAAUUAAGGUUCCAAAUCGCCUAGCCCAGAUAUGUAUGCUAACUCAAAAAAAAAUUGAAAAAGGCAAGUAAGACAAAACUACUUGAUAUGUAUACUAACUCAAAAUUAAAAAAACUUCCACAUGUCAAUAUUGUAACUAAUUGAAACCAUAAAAUGUCAUUGGCCUAUAUGUUCCGGGAGGUCGGGAAAGGGGUGAUAACCAAUCAUAAUCGAAAAUAAUAAUUAUUAUUGUAUACAAAAAUAGGUUAAUCGAUUACUCAAUAUACAUGAAGAUGACCGCUUAAUUAACUGAUACUUAAUCUAUUGAAGUAGGUCGUUAUAUUGACUUUGGCUAAGAUAGGUAUAAAUAUGAAGAAAAUUGGUUCAAUAACUCUCAAAUUGUUAAAUAAUUGACUGACCAAUGUAUUUUAGAUUAACAAAUCAGUUUUAACUGAUUAACGUAAUUGAAUGUCCACUUCUAGUGGGCGCUAAUGUGUCGGUGGAUAGUUCCUUGUUAGGCAUAUAAGAGAGAGUAAUAAGAGGAGGUUGUUGUAAAAAUUUUGAUGAUGAAAGGUUAGGAUCUCUCUUGGUUUGACGUUUGGCAAGACGGGUGGUUGAGCCACAUCUUAUUGCGGUGGAUGCCCUAUUAGGUGAUGAAAAUAAAUGAGUAUUAACCAUUCAUGUAACUAGAACAUGGGCUGCUUGCCAUUGGAUUUUCUGAGUGGGUGACCAUAUACCAUACAGAUUGUUGGGCUUGAAUUAUUCGGCGGUUUAAGUACUAUUAGACCUUUGGGGAUGAGUCGUGAGCCCAGGCCCAUAAAAAGUUUUUUAUAAGAAAUAUUGUGUAUAUUCAUCCAUGGAGGAAGCAAAUUAUAAGAGGUUUAACAAAGUAUUUGAAUGGGUCCAGACGAUUGGCAGUGAGAAGUCUAUGCGAAAGAAUACGAAUAUGUAGUCAUGGGAGCAUGAUAUAUUUCAUGUUGAAUGUGUAGAAUUGUAAGGGCCAAGCAUUCUUAUCGCAUCUGGAGGCGUCAAAGAGCGAAAGGCUAUCCGAGAGGAUCACAUAUCUAAUCUUGGAACAUUCGGCGUGCCUCAAUGCUUCAAAAAGGGAUUUAGGUUCAACCACCAAGGCAGAUGAUAUUCCACCGGUGACCUAUCCUUGAGAGUUGGUAAUGGAAACCCCAUAAUCCACCAAUGAUAUCUUCUCAUUAAAGAUCCAUCACAUAAGAUUUUUUGUUGAUAGCAAUAGUUAUGCGACAGACCCAGACCCAAUGUAGGGUUGGGAGAUUGAGAGGGAUGUGUAUUAGGAUGACUCAUGUCGAUAGAGCCCCAUUCAUCAUACAAUUUUUCGUCAUUGCAAAUAACAACGUCAAAUGAGGUGCUUGCAUUGUUAAAGAUCUUAUCAAUCAGUGCUUUCUAAAUGCUCUACAUAAUAGCUAUAUAUUUGUGAGAAUUUUGAGGAGUGUUGCCAUCCAAAUUAUAGAAAAUCCAUGGCAGGAUGUUUCGACAUUCAAAGGAGGAGGUCUUUGGAAAUAAGCAUAUUAUUCCAGACAUUCCUAGGCAAGAUAGAAUUAUUGUGACAAUGAAUCAUGUCUUCUUCUUUAUCCAUGCUCAAAGAACAUGGUGGGAAGGCAACACAUAUUCUCUUCAAAAUGUUGUGUUUUGUGAUCAACACAUUCAGGAUCGAUCGCCACACGAAAAAAACGAGGGUCUACCAAAGAUUUUUCCAAGGUAUUUGAUCUUCUCUAGUGUGAAAAAUGAGUAUCAUUCCAAUUCUUGGAAUGAUAGAGGACAUGCGGUAGGCUGAUCUGGUUUAGGAUAAUUGAUUGGUAUCAAAGUGUAACAUCACGACCUUUUUCUAACAAGAGACUAUCUGCUUUGGGACUAAGCCUAAUAGAUUUGAUUUUGGGUGCAUCAUGGUGACUAAUUCUGAGGAGGUCACACAUCUCUUUAGUACUCCCACGUACGUUUGAUCUUGCUAGGCUAGGGUAGAGAUGGAUAUGUGUUGGUGACCGACUACACAACCCCUAGGUAUUAUUGGUUUCCUUGGGCCUUUGUGGCCAUACUAGGGUAUUGAUGACCAUGUUGGGGCUUUUGACCAUACUCGGUUAUUAACACCAUAUUAGGGCCCUCUAUACCAGCACUCUAAUGACUAAUAUAUAACAUGUGAGCGUAUUAUCAUUAUUUGCCUAAUACUUUUAAAUCGUCAGCACGCAAUGCUACCUGCUAAACUACUCUCCAAGACAAAUGAUCGAUCUAAUAUUCUCCUACAUAUUAAUGAGUAAGAAUUGAGUAGAUAAUUACUCACUGUGAAACCCUCCCCCUAGAAGACCCGGUCAAACAACCCGAUUCGGCCCAUACAUACUACUCACGGGUUUUACUUAAACCAAAACACAUAGCAUUCAACACAUUAACCCACGAUUCUAACUCAAGUUCUACCUCUAAUUAAACAUAACGAAAACAUCAUCACAUAAAAUAGAGCAUGAAGAGCUCAACAAAAGCCUCAAAAAAACAUCCCAAAACAGUGAAACAAAUCAUCCAACCAAUUAGGAAAGCAUAACCAAAAAACAUCUAAAAACAAGGUAAAAUCCUAAAAAUCAAAACAAGGUCAAACGUCCUUCAAGGUAACUCUCUCUCUCUAGCUCCUGAACUACUUGGUCGAGGUACUGAAGUUGCACUUCUAGUCUUAGGAGGCAUCGACUCUUGACGGUCUAGAAUUAUACAUGCAAGUUUACAUAGACAGUGUCAAUGAUAUGCUCUGAGUGUCUAGCAAAGCAAUGCACUGAAUUGAUAGGCAUUGAAAGAAGAAAUCAAGUAAACAGUCAAGAGAUCAUCAUGGUCUACUCUUGUAAAGCGAACCUAUCAGUCAUCGAGUAGGAUACCUAGCAUCAGCCACCCCUAUCUGUGCAGAUAGCCUCAUAGUGGAUCAGACUAUGAAACCACCCUAACCUUGUGACCUGCAUCUUUAGGCAUACUUGAAACGUCCUAAACCUUUCCUUUAUAACUAGGGAUUGCACAAUCUGAGGUGAUUGACCAAUGCGGCACAUCAUCGGGAUCUAGUCCAACUAUACCUACCUUAUCCUAUUCCGAACACAUCACUGUUCAGUCCUUAAAGCUUCUAGCUCAACAUCAUUUUGAAUUAUGUACAAUAGAUCACACUCUACUGUAAAACCUUGGAGCCCUCGCUCCAAAACAUCAAUCAUCUCAUGAGAAGUCCUUUCGAAGGAAAUACCAAACUAUCCUAUCACAGCUCAACACUUUAAAAGCAGAACAUAAGCAUAAACCCCCAACUAUGUUUAGCUUUCUACCUUAAGUAAUAAGAGAGAAUAGGGAUAUUGGUAACCUUUUAAUGAAUCAUGUAGCCUCUCGAACCAUCUAGCAAAGAUCAGAGAUCGGUCAGCUCAACCUUCCUCCAUUGAUCGCUCCUUUCUUGAGAUUGAGAUCGUCAUUUGUCAAAGUGGACAGAACAUGUUUUAGGUUAUGUAACUUCUGGGCUCCCAGGUCUUGGAUGGAUUUUAGAAAUAGUCCACAACACCCAUGAUGAUCUUACUAUCACGCAUGUGAUGAACCUACAAGAACGUCCAUGAUCCACUUAUAGUCACGUUCGUGAUGUAUUGGUGACCACGUCCACGACGUACUGCAUACCAUUAUUGUGAUUGCGCUUACAAUCAUGGUCAUGACAGACUCAUAGUCACGCCCAUGAUUGUUCACUCGGUCAGACCACAUCUAGAGCCCAAAACUAAACUCAUUACCCGAUUGUCAACCCAAAAUUGGGGUGUCGCAACUCUCCCCUCUUACAUAAGGUUUAGCCCUGAAAUAUGAAUUUAAAAGCUCAAAAAAGGAGAAUCCUCCACGCAUGCUAGCCUCGGUCUCCCAUUUUGCAGCCUCGACAUCCUGAUUUUGCUAUACCACCUUUAGCAUCGGCGUUCCUUACUCUUUGGUCCACAAUCUUAUUGGACUGCUCCAUAAAGGUCAGGUCCCUCUCCAACUCAACCUCAUCCGGUUGGAUUACCUGAUUCGGUUUACCCAUAAAUGCCCAUAGUAUACUAACAUAGAACAUGUUGUGUAUCAGAUCCACCUCGGCAGGCAAGGCCAACUCGUAAGCCACUGGUCCUACCCCAAAUGAUGUUGUAAGGACUAAUGAAUCGAGGAGCUAGCUUCCCCUUCCGGAUGAAUCGCAUCACUCCCUUCCAACGAGACACUUGAAGGAACCUUAUUUCCUUCCCUGAAGCUAACCUCUCUGGCCUUCUUGUCCACGUAUUGCUUCUGUUGAUUAUGAGCCACACCUAGCUAUGCUUGAAUCACCCGAACCUGAGAGGUUGUUUCCUGGGCGAUAUGUGGUCCAGUCAACAACUUCUCCCCUUCCCCAUCCCAUUAGAGAGGGGUCCUACAUUUCUUGCUAUCCCGGGCCUCGAACAGUGCUACCUCUAUGUUAUGAUGGUAGGAGUUGUUGUAAGCAAAUUCCACCAUUGGCAAGACCUUACAAUGUUCUCUACGUACAAUCCUCCCAGCUCCUCCACAUGGGAUUUGAAUAAGAUGGGAAUGAAGCGAGCAUAAUUGAUCAGCCGGUAUACUAUGACCAAAACCGCAUCCUUCCCAUUCACAAGAGGGAAACCACUAACGAAGUCCAUCGUGAUAUCCUCAAUCUUCCACGCCGGAAUUGAUAGGGGCUGAAGCAAUCCUCCCAAUAUCUGAUGGUCAAACUUUUCCUUCUUAACGGGAUGCAUAUCAUAAGCAGAGGAAUACGCCUCAUCUAAGAUGUCCUCCCUCAAAGUGGAUCAGACCAUGAAACUACCCUAGCCGUGUAAGUGGCAUCUAUGAGCUUACUCAACACGUUAUAUACUUUCCUUUAUCACUAGGGAUUGUGCAAUUCAGGGUGAGUAACCAAUGCAAUAUAUCAUUGGGAUAUAGUAAAGAGCAUGCUACAGUAUAUCCUUAGAGCCCUUGCUCCACAACAUCAAUCAUCUCAUGAGAAAUCUUUUACAGUUCUACUCUAUUCAAAGCAGAUCGUAAGCAUAAACCCCCACCUCUGAUUAGCUUUCUUGAAGAGCCUGAAUUGAAGCUACCAUCCCAAAGCUCAAACCUCCUCUCAUGAUAGACCCGAAGAGAUCAAUCGAAGGAUUGAAUCCAAAAAACUCCAAACUGUCAGGAUUUUUACAUAGCUUUCUAACUUAAGGAUUAAGAGAUAAAAUGGAGAUUAUUUACCUUCCAAUGAAUCUCCUAGCCUCUCUAAUCCUCUAGCAACGAUCGAAGAUCAAUCAGCUCCACCUUCCUCCCUUGAUCGCUCCCUUCCUGAGAUUGAGAUCGUCAUUUUUCAGAGUGGAAAGAAUAGGUUUUAGGUUCUGUGACUUCUGAGUUCUCAGGUCGUGGAUGGCUUUUAUAAAUAGUACACCACGCUCGUGAUGAGCUUUCCAUCACCCCCGUACAAACAUGUCAUGAUCCAUCGAUGGUCACGACCAUAAUGUACUGGUAAUCGCGUUUGUGACGUACUGCCGACCACGAUCGUGAUUGCCCUUACAACCAUGAUCGUGACAAACUCCAUGUCUCUGAUCGUUCACUCGGCCAGUCCACUUCCAGAGCCUAGAACCAAACUCAUAGCACAACAGUCAACCCAAAAUCGGGGUCUCACACAUUCCUUAUGAAGUUUGGAUGGAAACAUCUCACCAAGCUCGAAGCAUUAUCGUUGAAAGUUAUGUUGGAGAAAUAUACCAAGGAUGGACCUAAUGGCGUUAUUCCUAUUCAUUUGGGUACUUCUUCGACUCUAUGGAGAGGCAUUCGACGGUUGUGGGAGAUGGUCAAACGAGGGACUCAAGUUAAUAUCCAAAGUGGACGAGACACUAUCUUCUAGUAUGACUCUUGGAUCGAUAACGGGAUCCGACUUAUCGAUUUUGUGACGAAUGAUAGUAUUCAACACACUGAUAUAUUCGAAGUUAGAGAUAUGACCACUAAUCAUGGCGAGUGGAUUUGGGUGCUCCAUCGAUCAUUACUUCCUCUUACGGCCUAAGCCUUAGUGGGGAAUGUCUACUUUUCAAAGCAAUACAUACGAUUCUCUUAUGAGGGGACCGUAUCGUAAGGGUUUGUUCUCUAUAACAAGUGUUUAUAACGUACUAGCCAACAUUCACCCGGCUAAUGAUCAACAAAUUUGGCGCAAGCUUUGGAGAUGGAAAAGACCGAGUAGAAUAAUGCAUUUUUGUGGCUGACUCUUUAAAAUAAGUUGAUGAAAAAUCAUGAACGUGUGAGACCACAUAUUUCCACAUCGCCGACCCGCAAUAUUUGUAAUCAAGAGGAUGAAUCAAUUCUACAUAUCCUGAAGGAGAUCGGUUUUACAACCGAGUGGAAUUGCGGCUGGGGCAGUGGCGAAGCUGGGGUGGGGUUCCUCGGGCUCCCAGCCAUCCCACUUUUGGGUCGAGAGUUAUCUAAUUAUUAGUGUUUUUGUAUAUUUAAGUGGUUGACCUAGUGAUUUGUCAAAUGAGCCCAGUGAUUUUGUAAAAUUGGUCCAAUCUCUUAUUUUCAAAUUAAUUUUUAUUAGGACCCAUUGCUCUAUUUUGUCCUGUCUCCGCCUAUGAGUUGGGGGUGGUAUUAUCCGCAAUCCCCAGGGUACUUGUCUCAUGGCUUUCGCUGCAAAUUUGGGAGUCUGUACAAUUACUAUAGCAGAGCUUCGUGUAGCUAUCCACGGGCUUCGUCUUGCUUGAGAUAGUGAUUACUGGAAAGUUAACCUGCAGGUUGAUUUAGUGGUCGUCGUCGCCUAUGCUUUUAAGGACUCCAUUGGCAAUGGCCGACACUCAGCAAACAUUACAGAGCUGAUGCUCGUCCUUCAUCGAGAAUCAGAUGUUCAGGUCACACACACUUUUAGAGAAGGUAAUCGAGUUGUCGAUCUUCUUGCCCAUCUUGGACACUCUCUUCCUUUCAAUUUUCAUCCGAUUACUUUUUUUUCCUCUAUUUUACAUGAGUGUAUCCAAGCAGACUCUAUUGAUAUUUCAUUCUCUCGAUUUAUUUCAAAUUAAUAAAAUUGAACAUAAAUCCAUAUUUCUAUAAAAAAAAACAUAAACACUCACAAGAUCUCGCCGUGUCAAGUGACCGUUCUACUUUUCCUGAAGUUUCAAUAUGAAAGAAAUUCCAAAGGGGGGACAAAGCACAACACUUAAAAAACUUGUAAAUAAAACACUUGUGUCCCUGUCUCAAAAUAUUAAUUAGCGACGCAGAGAGCACUAAACCCUAUGCAUCUAUUUCUCCCUCUCCCUUGUUGUUUUCUUGACUCUCUCCCUUCAUUGACUCUCCACCCAUUUUCCAGAAGCCUUUUUAGUAGCUGACUCACCCAAGCUCAAACUCCCAAAACCAAAACACACACCAAUUCCUCCAUACCUUUUUUGUUUUUUCUUUUUCUGUUCUUCUAAAAGUUUUGUUUUUUCCUUUUUAAUAAUAAGAAAUCAAAUAACAAAAAAAUCAGAAAAAAAAACAACAAAAACAUCAAAGGCAAGAAAUUAAACCACCCCACUACUCAGUACUCCCUACUUCACUCACUCUCUUGCUUCCUCUCAUUCCCUCAACUAUCAUUCUUUUCACCUCUACCCUUCUUCUUCUUCCUUAGUAAGACCAAGCAAAAAGUCUCUACCUUUCCAACCCAGAUCCAAAAAAAGAAGCCCCCUUUUUGGGUACCUUUCCAUCAGACUCUUCUCCUUCUUCUUCUCAUUCUCCUUCUUCUUGUUGUUGUUGUUGUUUGUGAAAGGUGGUUUCUUUUUAUGAUCAAAACAUAUUAACUAGAGAUCAAUGGGAGGAAUAAGAGUAAGGAAAAUAGAGCCCAUUUUGCUACUUGUUCUUCUCUUCUUAGUGUUACCAACUCCUUCAUUAUCUUCAGUCCAUAAUGAAAAGUCAAGAAGAUUUGCAAGUUACUUUAGGAUAAGUAGAUCAUCAUCAGUAGCAGCAGCUUCUUCUUCUUCUUCUCCAUCAGCAUCAGCAUCAGCAAUGGCGGCGGCGGCAGCGGUUUCUUCAUCUCCUUCUACCCAUCACAUGAUGGAAGUUGGAGGAGGAAGAAGAACAAACGGUGACGUUUUGGGUGCUGAGAAGAGGAAAAUCUAUACAGGUCCAAACCCUUUACACAAUAGAUAGAAUUAGAGAGCUCUCUCUCUAGCUCUUCAUUUUUAUUAUUUGUUCUUUGUAAUUUGUUUUUUUGUUUUAUUUUUGUCAAUCCCUAUAUGAUGAUGAUGAUGAGGAAGAUGGAGGAGCUGCUUGCUGCUGCUAUGAGAUUUUUCUUUUCUUUUCUUUUCUUUUCUUUUCUUUUCUUUUUAUGCCCCUUCUUUUUCUUCUUUCUUUGAUUGUUAAUGAUAUUGCCGCUUGACUUUCUGCAUUUGUAUCUUCAAAAGUUAGCUAGCUUUAAUUAGCUACAAUUUUUUGUCACAAUUGCAUAUACAUUUUUUAACCUCUUUUGCACCCACCUUUUAUUAGUGAUAUCGCAACAGAGCUUAUUUGAGAUUUUAAUUUAAUUACGUUGUUUUAAUGACAUCUAAGCAUAGGAUUAGGAGUUGUCUCUUAACACCUGUGCAACCUAAUAAAUAAGAACAUAUGAUGUCCUGUCAAUGAACAGGAACAACAAAAUAAACGUUGAGCGAUUCGAAACAGAAACAUAAAUAAGGGUGAGAAAUAUAGGUGGGCAUUAAUGUGAG
This 68191-nucleotide long non-coding RNA is filed under the name Linum usitatissimum (flax). Its description in RNAcentral is "long non-coding RNA (LUSI_LNC005654)". Lineage: Eukaryota; Viridiplantae; Streptophyta; Magnoliopsida; Malpighiales; Linaceae. The record is from RNAcentral.